UGAUUGGCCGGCCCUUGAGCGUGCCCAAGUUUAUUUCUGAGUCCAUUUACGCAGCUACCUGUAUCAUUCGGAUCAUAAGAUGUACUAGGGUCAGUUGCACUAUGUGAAUCAUAAGAUGUGGUAGGAUGGUGCUAUGCGAAGCGUGUCGAGCUGAAGUACCUAGUGGACUACAGUCAUGAGGGCGGUCAUGUGGACAUCGUCGCUUCUUAGUUCAUUAGCAGAUUUCAAACUAUUUCCUGUAUUGCAGCACAUUAUUAGUAUUGCUGUAUUAGCAAUUUUCAUGGCUUGUUGAUGAUUGAUCAUACUUGGCGUCAAGCACCCCCCUGAGUUUUUCUUGUCCUACUUCCCUCUCCAAAUAAUUGACUUGUAGGAUUCUUCUAAGUCAAAAGUUUGAUCAUUUUGAUAUAAAAUUAAUUAUAUCAGCAUCUACAAAAUUAAUUUUAUUCGAAAUGUAUUUUCGUAUUAUAUAUGUAUUUGAUACUCUGUUGUGUUUUUACUGUUGACAUAUAAAUCCCCUUUAUGUUUCUACUGUUAGACAAUUCAACUUUGUUUCAAUUUAGUGACUCAAAUUUAAAAUGCAAAAUUCAAUAAAAGAUAUAUGAUGGAACUUCAAAGAAACAUAUUUCCCCUUGUGACACAAAUCCCAGGCCAAGAGCAACCCGAGAAUCCGUGCCCCUUCUAAUUUCCAAAAGUGAUUCUUCUUUGUCACCCAUCCCAUUUGGAUCCAUCAGUUUGUACCUUUUAUCUCUCUCGUCAACUUCAUCUCCUUGAAAUUGAAUGAACCAUACGCCCCAAGUCAGCCUUGCGCUUCGCCGUGGCCCCCAUGCCCACCUCGUACUCCUCUUGUUUCCUCGGCUGUCUCUUCUCAUUCUUUUUUUUGACCAUGCCUCUUCUCAUUCUCUUUGACUUCUUAUCACCUUGCUAAUUUCUCCUAUUUCUUGAACGGGAUUACUUCAUGUACUAUGCUUUGUGUCCGAUUUUCAUACAAUGGUCAGAUGGAUGGUUGUAGGCCCAAAUAGAUGCUAACAUGGAUGAAAAGUGCAAAUGGAUGAUGGGUGCAUUGGUGGACUUUAUUAAAAAAAUAAUUCAAAUUGCAAAAAAAAAUGUACAUACACAAAUACAUAUAUAACACAUUCACGAAAAGUUUCGUAACAAUAUACUCCCUUCGGUCCUUUUUACUCUGUAUAUAAGAAUUGUUUGAAGUCAAACUUCACAAAAUUUGACCAUAUUUAUAUGAAAAAAUAUCAACAUCUACCAUACUAAAGUUAACAAUAUAAAAAUUUAACUCAUGACACAUAUACUGAUAUUGAUUUUAUACUGUGAAUGUUUGUAUUUUUUUCUAUAAAGUUGGUCAAACUUUAUGAGGCUUGACUUUAGACAAAUCUUAUAUGCGAACUAAAAAGAACCGGAGGGAGUACUACUUGCAUACAUGGCACAGACAAAAAAAACACAUACAUGGAAAUGGGCCACCAUUUUCUUUUUGGUGUUGGACCGAAAUCUUGUUUUUUUGUGCAACUUGCAAAUCGUAAUAUUUUUGAACAAAAUUUUACAGAUCCACCAUGAAUAUGUAUAAGUUCUCGUAGACUUUUUUGAACUUAUAAAUAUCGUUUUUGAAUCAUUUGAAAUGAAGUCUUCCAAUGCCCCCGUCCACACAAACUUCGCACUCCUAACAUGGAUGGUUAAUAUUGUGUGUUAGUACAAAUAUCGUAUGGAUUUUAUUACAUGUGUAGCGGUGCUCUUUCUUUAAUGUCAAUUCCACAUUGUCUCUGCCAACUCAUCCCUCGACAAAAUCAUCUCAAACUUUUCUCUCUAGGCAUAAAACUUUGCUCCCUACCAAAGCCUCUCCUACUCUUUCUUCGUCCUACAAGCAUCUAUGCAGUUAGUAUGACUUUCUAGACCUCCCAUCCUCCUCCUCCCCAUCUACUUCAUCAUUGCUCUUUGAGAAGAGGAGUGAUUUGACAUCAGUCUUUUAGGCGGAGGGUCACCAUUCCUGGUUUGUCACUUUUUAUGCUCUUCGGAAAUGCACGAUAGUGACGGAGUGUUGAGAACUUUCGUUCGGACUUAGGCAUAUGCUUGUAUGUAAUUGUCAUGUGGCAUCGAACAAUUCAGGAUGCAUAUGAGAAGUCAAUUCUUAGCCCAUAGUAUAAGAGAUCAACUCUUAGCUAUGAGAAGUCAAGUUUUAAUUUUCUCUCCAUUUCUCCCUUUCCCACUUCACCAUUUAUCCUACCUGAUACCGCUAAGAUAGUUUUAAUGUAAACGCCCUAAGCAAGCCCAUUAAUUUUUCUUAUUUUCUGCCACUUUUCAUUAGUACAGUAAACCAAUACAAAUUCAUGCUUUGCUAUUGCGUGUUCCCAAGUUUGUAGUUGCUUUUGCACUACCUUUUAUUUGUUCUUUAUUCCACGGCUCGGGUAGAACUCAAAAUUGCUUAGGAGCAUAAAUAGAGAUCUGUUGCUAAUGAUUUCUCCAUUGCCAUACCGUUUAUAUUCGAUAUCUAAUUUAUGAUUCCAUAGUAUGGCAUUUUAGACCUAGAGGAAAUGUUGACCAAUCGCUAGCCUCUUCUUUCCCCUCUCACAAAGCAACUGGGGCAUAGUCUUCCUCCUCUCGAUCUCUGUUAGUGAGAUCGUGGAUUUGCCUCACCUCUAUGUGCCGAUUCGACACCCCGGGGUGGGGAGGGAAUCUUGGUGCCUUGGCUAUGGUUAGUAUAUAUGGUUUUAGUCCUAACAAGAGUGAUACUUGACGGAUGUCGAUGCCUCAUCUCUGAGUCAAUCUUUCAGGCUCCAACCCUCCACGAGUUCAUCCGUUGGGACAGAUUAUGCAGAGCUUUGACAUAGAUUCCUGCCGGCUCCUCGGGGCGUCUAGGUUGGGUUUUAUCGACGUGUGUGCGUGACGGUGAUAUUUGGUGUCAAGUUCUUCAGAUCGAUUCAAAGGUUUAAUGACUUUGCCUAUGACUUUAGGGCGCCGAUCCUUAUGGUCACAUGCAUACGGAAUUAUUGGUUGUCAUCAACAUGAUGAGGCCGACUCCAGUAUGAGAGAGAGAGAGAGGCGACAUCGACACAUCAGCGCUUAUUUUGUGGUUCAAAGACCUCAAUACAUUUUUAUUAUUUUUGGUGUGCUUUGUACCUCUGAUGAUUUUUUCCGCAAAGAAACCUCUAGAUGAAAUGCUUACCAGAGAGCCCGUGGAUUUGCCUCCCCUCUACCCGUCGCUCCGGUGGCCGGCGGAGAAAAGAGGAAUUCAUGUGCCUUCGCCUAGAUUAGUAGUUUAGGUUAGUUUUUUUAAUCCUCGCAGGUGCGACGCUUGAACGGGCGGUGACACUUCUUCUUCGAGUUUGUCUUUCGUGCUCCGACCCUCCUCGAGUUCGUCCGUCUGGACAUAGUCGAUGAAGCUCCGACAUAGAUUCCUGACAUCUCCUUGGAACGGUGAUGUUAGGGUUUCUCGUCAUGUAACGAGAUUUGCUGUCAGAUGCUUCAGAUAUAUGCAAGGAUUCAACAAAGACAACUGCGGCUCCAGGGUCCUGGUCCUUAGGGCACAUGCAUGAAGACUUCCCGACCGUAAUCGAUAAGGUCAAGCUGGCUUAGAUAGGGGGAACGGCGACAACGACGCGUCGGUGACUCAUUCUAUUGGCAAUAGUGGUCGUCCGAUGAUCUUGAAAUCUCAAUAUAAUUUUAUUAUGUUUGAGAUGCUUUGUACUUCCAACAAAUUUUUAUAAUAGAUUUGAUCCUCUUUCCGGGGAAAAAACUAGUAGAAAAACAAUCCUACCAUUCUCACAGACGUCACUCGAACGUUUGCUCCCACGCGGCUACCAGGCAGAAGGAAGAGGAGAGCGGACGCACCAUCGCCGCAACAAAGCCAACAACUGCGUACUGAAGAAAAGAAAACCACUUGUAAAGCAGAUCACAUAUACUCACCGCACCGCACCGCGCGUCGUCGCCGCGCCGCCCCGCCCCACCCCACCGGAUCCCGCCAGAUCCAGGUGCCCAGAUCCCGGAGCGCCCGACUGGCCCGAUGGACCCCUCGCCGGCCGCGGCGGAGCGCGACCGCUCGCCGCCGCCGCCCCCUCCCCCGCCCCCGUCCUCCUCCACGUCGCCUCUCGCCGUCGUCUGCAGCUUCUGGAAAGGUCCGCGUCGAUCCCCACCUUCGCUGCGCUUGGUUCGAACUGGUGUGCCCGGAAGGCCGGCUGGUCUGAAUUGCCGCGGAGCAUCGCGAUUCCCAGUUGCGCGCGCCUGUACUGGCUCGCAGGGUGCAGAAUCUGUGGGGUUUUGCACUAAUCGCGACUGGAGAGAUCUUAAUUUCCUUGAGAUGCUUACAUUUUCCACCUGCAUUCAAAUCUGCUACUAGCAUGUUUUUGCUUGCCACCUCCUCAAUUGGCUCCAAACUGUAUGACAUGCUCGUGACAGGGAGACCAAGUAGUUUCAGUAGAGAAAGGCCUGAGUCUUCGUCUCGAACUUAAAUUCGUUACCUAUGAAGCUUGGCAAGCUUUUGCUGUCCUAGUUUAGUUUCUGCACUGAUCGAAAAAAGCAAAUAAUAGAUAUUACUAGUUUUUGUGCAUAGGCCAUGUAUAGCCACUCUACAUCAUUCGAACAAUGAGCUAGUGAUUGAUCACAGACGUCAUGAACUUUUAUUGCCUCCUUGAAUUAUUUGCAUCCAUACCGUGUAGGGAGAGUAGCUGUGAGUUGUCAUGCCACGUGAUCGAUACCGUGGUUCCCAUGCGGGGGUUUGGAAAGCUACAACGCCUAAAUAGCUUCCAAGUGUGAAUGCUCAUGUGCUGUAGAUAACAUGUUGAUUUAUUUAGUUAUUGUAUGUGGAAUGUAGGUUGAUGCCUUCGCCAUGUAAAAUUUUAUGCUAUCCAUGGUGGAGAAUCUGACUGUUGUCUCUUGUACAAUUUAGACUUUGAUUUGGAGAAAGAAAGAAGUGGGUUGGAUGAGCAGGGUUUAAAGAUUGCGGAGAAUCAAGAGACGAGCCAGAAGAACCGACGUAGACUUGCUGAGAAUACUCGGGACUUCAAGAAGGCAUCUCCAGAUGACAAGCUUAGUUUGUUCAACUCAUUGCUUAAGAGUUACCAGGAGGAAGUUGACAAUCUCACAAAAAGAGCAAAGUUUGGAGAAAAUGCAUUUCUCAACAUCUAUCAGAAGCUCUAUGAAGCCCCUGAUCCAUAUCCAGCUCUCGCUUCUAUGGCUGUAUGUCUUUCAAACUUACUCUCUACCGUAGCUUCUCUAAUUCGGCAUUGUUUGUUGUAUUCAUAGAGGAAACUGCCUUCAUGGCUGUCCCGACUUCUCUAAAUUGCAAGUUGCCACCAAUACUUAAUUUCUUGCCUUGUCGCAAUAAUCACUUGCCAUCUUAUUGGUAUUCAGUAUUGACGCCUACUGAUAUCUGAUAAUAACAGAUAAUUAUUUGUAUGAUUCUAUCGUCACUCUCCGAACAUAGAACUUUUGCUAUAAUAUGUGUCAACUUGCACUAAAUUAAACUAUAGGUGGGAAGCUGUUAAUCUGCAAAUAUAGAUGCGAGUUAGUUUGUUCCAACUUAAAAGUAGCGGUCACGUGUUAACACUAGUGCAGAUCAGAGUUAGCAACUUUGGGAAAAACCAUGAUAUGGCACUGCAGUUUCCUCCAACAAAAGUCUGAUGUGUUCAGUUUUGUUUAUUCCUUUGCUUGAAUGUCAAUAACUAGCAUCUUCUUCGAAUAUAAUAAAUGACAUUCAGUCAGAUUUCACCAAAGUUUGUUGCUAAUGAUCUCAAUUCAUUCAGGAUCAAGACCAGAAACUAUCUGAACUGGAGACUGAAAACCGGAAGAUGAAACUUGAGCUUGAAGAAUACCGGGCGGAAUCUGCGCACCUAAAGAACCAACAGGCGACGAUUAGGCGACUUGAGGAGCGAAACCGCCAACUAGAACAACAGGUCUGUUCCAAGGUCACUUGGUUUCCCGCUCUGUUUUUUUAAACUAGUCAGUUUUCCUUCUGGUUUUGAUGUUCUGCAUGAACGAUGUCAGUUUCACAGUCGAAUAAUGUUAGUUCCUUCACACUGGUGCUUUAUGAAAUUAUCCAAUUGGCCUCCUGUAUCCAUACAAUGGUAUUCUUAAUUUUCAUUUUCAUACUUGAAUGGCCGCAUUGUUCUUGUUUACAAAGUUUCAGAAGCCUCAUACUUUUCAUGAUAGAAAACUUAAGCCCUUCUUUUUACAUUGAUGCAUGAAUUCCAAAUUUCACCUGAACUAAAAACAAUUGUACCAUGGUCUGUCUGCGAAUAUACUGGCCCACUAGCCACUAAUACUGCUUUUUAGACAUAACACCAUUAGUCAAAAUAUUUUGUAAAUAUCUAAGUGGCAUUGCACUUGCAGCUGAAAUAUAUACAUUCCUUCCAGUUUAUGAAGUUUGUGUAUAGCGAGCAACUACUUUGAUGAAAAAACAUCGCUGAUUUCUUGUUCCACAUAGUUUUAACACACUUCCUGUUUCUUGAAUCAUAUCUCUUUUACCUUCUAAUGAGUUAUUUUAUUUUUGUGAUUUUAGAUGGAAGAAAAAGUUAGAGAGAUGGUUGAAAUGAAACAGCGAAGCUUGGCAGAAGAUAGUCAGAAAACUCUCGAAGCCCUGAAAGAUAGGUAUGAUAAAUAAUUGCAACGAAGAAAAUAAUUGCUUAACGAUUAUCACAAUUUAAAUUUAAGCUUUUUGAUUUUGAGAAUUUGCCACAUCAAAUAUGAUGAUGCAUAUGCUUAUUUGAAUCUUCGAUUGCCAUGAUUGUAGGGAACGGGCGUUGCAGGACCAACUAAGGCAAGCUACAGAAAGUGUCAAGAAUAUGCAGAAGUUACAUGAAUCGGCACAAAGCCAAUUGUUUGAGCUUCGUACUCAAUCAGGUUUUCUUCCUUUCUUUAGUUGUGUUACCUUGACGAUCGCUAUGCUUAAUGGUUCAAUAAUUAUGGAAGUUCUAAUGAAGUUUUAUAUUUUGUUCAGAGGAGGACCGGACAGCAAAGGAAGCUGAAGUGAGCCUUCUGAUGGAUGAAGUUGAACGCGCUCAAUCACGAUUAGUUAGCCUUGAGAGAGAAAAGGUAAUGUUGCCUGUUGCUGUUUUGGCUUUAGGAAAAUCCCUUGCAUUCAUAUGGUUGCAAUUCUCCCACUAUGGCAAUCGAGAUCUAUGCACAUUCUCUCAUACUACUGCACGAAACUUAUGGUGAAUUGGUGAUAGACUAUUAUCAAAUAAUCCUCAGUCGGUGAAUACAUUGAAUUGAUGACUGACACAUGUCAUGUGUUUGACCAAAAUGUGCACAUCCAUUAUUGGCUUCCCUAACAUACGAUUUUAUUCUUAUGUUCACUGCAGGGGGAUUUACGGUCUCAGUUGCAGACAACAAAUGAAGACACAAGUAAUAAUAGGUAAUUUUGUUUGCAUUUUUCCUGUGUAUGAAUGAGUAUGCAAGUGUGUAUUUGCAUAAUUUUUAUCAUUCAUAAUGCUGUUGAUACAGUGACUUUCAGCAGUAUUGCUAUUAUUUUAGCUGGGCCUUUAUGAUUAUCUAGAACUUAAUACUAACUUAUUAUCUGAAUUAUGUAAUUAUGCAGUGAUUACAUGGACCCAAGUGAUAUACUUGAGAGUUCUUUGAAUGCCAAGGAGAAGAUCAUAUCAGAGUUGAAUGCAGAACUGCGUAACAUUGAAAGUACUUUAUCAAGUGAGAAAGAAAUGCAUGUGAAUGAAGUAAAGAAGUUGACUGCUUUACUCAGUGAGAAGGUACCCAGUCAUUAAAAUUGCUAUGUCAAAAUUCAGUUGUCAGUAACCAACUCACUACUCGUAAUGUUGGCUAUUGGGUGCCAAGCUAUAAGUGAGGGACUCUACCAUUCUCUUAUUUAGAGAGUCCCCCUGUUUAUUCUUUUCCAUCAUCUGAAGGGCACAGUAGUCUUCUUAUGUGUAUCAUCAACCUGUCUAUUUACUUACAAUCCAUAUUCCAAAUAUUGUUCAAUAUAUUAAUUUCUUUGCUUCUAUCACUAUCAACAUUCUGUGAUAGGUGAGUUUCGUAGACAUGGCUACAGCCACUAGGUUUGCAUCUGAACCUGAAAAAAGCACACAGAGUGAAUAGUUCUAAUGAAGAUAAUAAUAAGUUACUUUUUCUACUAUAUGUGUGAGCCAUUUUCCAGUCACGAGUCGAUCCACCAUAUAUAUGCUCUUGGAAUGAUUUGUAUCUAUGCACCCAUGGUCCACUUAUUUGUUGUUUUGCUAAUUACUUUCUCUUUGUAGGAAACUGCGAUAACGGAGUUGAAGAAAGAACUUCAAGAAAGACCUACGACUAGACUAGUUGAUGAUCUCAAGAAAAAGGUUCAGAUUUUGCAGGUUGGAACAAAACAAGCUCUAUGGAUAAACAUGUUUUUGUUAAACCAUCUACUUUAGUUCGGACAUUUGACGACGUACCGUCCAUAAUCAACUGGAUCUUAACCUGAAUUCAUUGCCUCUUUAUCCUUUAGUGAAAUUUCAAAUACACAUGAUACAUGAGAUCAGCUUUUCAGUGUUGCAUCUUAAUUAUACUAAAUUUGCCCACAUCAUUUUGUUGGUGAUCACAGAGAUAUGCUUGAGAUACAUUUUGUUAUUCCUCCAUAUUACCCUCACUAUAUUUGAUUUUCUGUCCCCAUGCUUGCUGAAAUUCCUUUUUUUUUCCAAUAGGCUGUUGGGUACAACUCAAUUGAAGCUGAAGACUGGGAGCUAGCAACUAAUGGUGAAGAAAUGAGCAAACUGGAAGCUUUGCUUCUUGAUAAGAACCGCAAAAUGGAGCAUGAACUUACACAGUUGAAGGUUGGUACCUAGUUUAUAUGCUGGAAAAUGGUUUGGCUCUUUGGAGGACAGUCAGUAUUUGUCAUGUAUACAUACUUGUUAUCUUCUCUCCUGGAACUGUCUUGUAAGUUCUUUUUUUUUUUGCAUCUCUUAAAGGUUAAAAUAUCAGAGAAGUCAAGUCUUCUUGAGGAAGCUGAGAAAAAGAUUGCUGAACUAACUUCAAAGGUUGAAGAGCAGCAAAAAUUGAUUCUGAAACUCGAGGAUGACAUAUUAAAGGUUGCUCUCCUUACCCUUGUGAUAAUAUUUCAUAUAUUGCCAGUUGAUCCCCGUUGUCCUUUGAAUUUGAAUAUAUAUAAUCCUUACGAGCAUGUCUUCUGCAUAUACGGUUACCUUAUUUAGUGCUACAGUCUGAAUAGUGAUAUUAUGUUAUUACAAUAAACUACACAAUCCUGGGUUUCGAUACUUAAGAAACCAAAUAAUUUGUUAUGCCUUUUGUUUUUUGAAGCACACGUGUAGCUGAUAUGUUUAUUAACUUUGUUACAGGGCUGCAGUUCAACUGAUAGGAGGAGUUCUCUUUUGAAUGAUUGGGAUCUUCAAGAAAUAGGCUCAAAUGAAGUAUCGGAGGUAAAAUUCUAGUUUGGCUUCACUUAUGGCGAACCAUGUCGCUUUAAUUCUGCAUUACUCUUAGAAGCUGCAUAGUUCAGCCGUGGACAAUAAAUGCACGGGAAACACAGUUCAGAUGAUCAACUUUAAGUCCUCAUAGACAUCAUCUUAAAGCUAGUAUAAAGAUCUGCAAUUGUCAUAAAUGUUACCGUUACAACUGUUAAUACACGACACUGAAACAUUGAAGAGUUAGUGAAUUACCAAACACUUGUCUUUUUUGCACCAUGAUUUUCACAAAUCAUAACUGGUUUCAAAUCAACAACUGCUACAUUCGGUUGGUGAAUUUACUGUCUAAUUCUGAAAUCUAUGUUACUACGUGGCCCACUAGUCCGCAAGUGGUCUGUGUUAACCAUUUCUUGGUAGAACAGUUGUUCUCCUCGAAACAAAAUAACUCUUAAUAUAGCAAUCUUUCUUAUAUGUUUUAAUAUUUAGCGCCUCAGUUUCCCAGAAAAAAACUCUUGAUACACUGGUUUUGCAAACAUGCGUGUGAUUUUAAUAUUUAGCAGUAUAUGCAGUUGUUAUCAACAGUAUCCACAGUUCUACUCCCUCCGUCCGAAAAAACUCGUCAUCAAAAUGGACAAAAAGGGGUGUAUCUAGAACUAAAAUACAUCUAGAUACAUCCCCUUUUAUUCAUUUUGAUGACAAGUAUUUCCGGACGGAGGGAGUAGAUGUUAAGGCAAAUACCAAAUGUGCCUAAGAAUCAUUUCAAUACUCACUUUUUUUGUAACAGUGCAUUUGAUUUUGAGUUAUCUAAUCAGAUGGUCACUACAUCCAUGUGUAGCUUCACUUGUUUCUUUUCAUUUAUUUACAGGGUACUGAUCCAAGGAAUUCAUCACCAGACCAAGAUCAAAGUUCCAUGCUCAAGGUCAUCUGCAAUCAGAGGGACCGUUUCCGUACACGACUACGUGAAACCGAAGAGGUAUAUAUUAUAGGCUUCUAUUUUCGACAAGGUUUGGUAAUGAUAUAAGAGGGUCAUUUUCCUUGGUUUUCUUGAAAGUUGUGGUUCUGUUAGGCUUUUCUUGGAUUUUUUUUUAUCCCAUGACUUCUCUUUGCUUCAUGAAAUAUGAAAAUGCAUCACCACUGACCAUGUAUUGUCAUUUUUACGUAUCCCAGGAACUGAGGAGAUUAAAAGAGAAGUAUGAAAUGCUAGCUGUAGAAUUGGAAAAAACAAAAGCUGAUAAUGUUCAAUUGUACGGAAAGAUUCGAUACGUCCAGGACUACAGUCAUGAGAAGAUUGUUUCUAGAGGACCAAAGAAGGUUUAGCAUAAAUCCUUAUGAUGGACUUUACAUACUUCACAUUGUCUAGCAUUUGACCUUUGUUAUGUUGCGCCUUGCAGUACGCAGAAGAUAUUGAAAGUGGUUCUUCAGAUGUUGAAACAAAGUACAAGAAAAUGUACGAGGAUGACAUAAAUCCUUUUGCAGCUUUCUCGAGGAAGGUAGAUAUAUUUGAACAUAUCAUCAGCAACACAUGUUAUCUCUGGUAUUGUACACAGCUCAAUUAUGUUCUUUUUUUGCCAUAUCCAGGAAAAGGAUCAAAGAUACAAGGAACUUGGUAUAAGAGAUAAGAUCACUCUCAGUAGUGGCCGUUUUCUCCUCGGUAACAAGUAUGAUACUAUCAUUUUUUGUGGGGUGUGCAGUUCAGGUUUUCCUUUUCUUUGUAUUUGUUGUAUUACCGAUCUUUGAUGAUAACUUUUAAAUUGUUGUAGAAACAGCAGAGCUAUACAUGCCAAGUUUUUUAUUUGACCAUUCCCAAUGUCGUAUGUCUUUUUUGAAUUAAAUAAGUACAGCACCGAUGACUCAGGUGUGCAUGGAUCUGCCACUGAGAUGUACUCCCUCUGUAAUGAAAUAUAAGAGCGUUUAGAUAGUGCUAUUAUAUUUCUUUACAGAGGGAGUAGUUAAUUUGGUUCCAACUUCUUAAAUUAUACCCUUCGUCUGAAUCUUUGUUUAGAUUUUAUAUUUGGUCAUUGUGCUCAUGUCUAAACUUUAAAACUGACCACCAUUGAUUAAUCCUAGCCCUUCAUGGAUAAGAAUGCACAAGUGAUUGCCAUUUUGUAUUACAUGAUGCCUUAGUUUCUUUAUUGUAUGAUUUUAUCCAUGAAGCGGACUGAAAAUAAAUAUAUCAAGUGUUUUGUUUGUAUUCACAUAUUUGCCUGGACUUUUAUAUUCUCCUACACUAAUGAAUUGCUUGAAUUUCUGUAUUUGACCAAUGAAGCGGACUGAAACAAGAAAUUAAUGUAGCAUGUGUUCUGUUUGUAUUCACAGAUUUGCCCGGACAUUUAUAUUCUUCUACACUAUUGGAUUGCAUCUCCUCGUGUUCACGCUGCUGUACAGAAUGUCAGCUUUGAGCUAUCUGAGGUAAGCAUGCAUCGCAUCGUCAGUUUCAAUUUGAGGCCCUAAGCAUGAGCACGGCUAACUUGAAAUAUUUGUGCAGCAUAACACCUGCACAUGAUGAGAUCAUCCUUGACGCUGGCAAUCAGACAUUAUCGCACAUGCCCUGAGCCAAGUUUGAUGUAACAGUAUUAUCACUUGAUCAGUACCGAAAGGGAAGCGUUCCUGGGUUUUGGUCUCGAGAAUCUCUGCAUAGGAUCAUGACUGAAGUUUUUAGUUUACUAUGCCCUUUAGGUGCCUUGAUAUGUUCUCUUCUGUAGAUAAAUUUCCAGUAAAGCGGGUGAGGAUUAAGGGGCGAGGUGGCGGAUGAGGUGUGGUGCUUGAGUCAUUCUGUAAACUGUUGUAUUACCAAAUUGCCCUUUCGAUGACAAAUGAAAGCACAUAUGUACAAACACAAUGCCAUCCAAAGUAUGUUUUCAGCAUAUAUGGUCGGAAGUUUGUGGCGAGGACAGUUGUACAGAAUCUAGAAAUAAAAAGGAUUGAGGGAGUAAUAUUAGAGUUGUCUUCACAUUAAUUUAGCAGGAACAGCCUUAAGCAGAUAUUUGGCAAAAGCAAGUUAUCUGGAUUCCCUUGUAUGCGAAAGAUGAAGUUUACAAGUUGAAGUAUUCAAAAGUUGAAUUCUUGCAACUAAAAGAUUUUUUUCCUGAAAAAGGAGAUGACUGCUUUGCCUCCGAAAAAUUGAAAGGAAGAAGAGAAACCAUGGGAGGCAACGUUCCUGUUGACAGAGGCGCAUGUAAUGGCUUUGUUAAUCUUAAAACCUGUUAGCUUAGUAUCUUGGAGGUGUUCAUAGGAUAGGGCAUGCAUGCCUGUAUUUGUAGAGAUGAGCCUAUUCAUGGGGAUAGGCGUAUGUACUUGUUUGUGUACUGCGCUUCUGAAAAAACUGGGGAGGCAGGGAGAGAAGGCGUGCAAGAGUUAAACUUGGCGAGCUUUAUCCAUUUAAAAAAAACAAACUUGGUGAGCUUUAUCUGAAGAGCGAUCCAGCCGGAUUACCUGUCGAGACCCACCCGCACGCACAGUAAACCCGCUUGUCUUCAACCACGAUCAGUCGCUGUACGCUCCCACGCCCACGGAUUGUCCCCAACCACCGUGCACAUCCACUGCAACCCGCAACCUCUCCCGAGCUACAAAAAAUUCACACCGUUUUGCCGACCCUCCGGCACGCGCAAGUGACACCAACAGCGACGGCGCCGGGAACCUGUGGACCGCCGAGGAGCCGAGGGGCAGCCCACACGCAGGCUCGCGCGCGCGCAGCUAGGAGCCAGAGCGGGGAGAGGGACCGGGCUGUACUAGGGUCGCUGUUUGCGGUCAAUUCACGGCGGCGCGUAGCGCAGCGCCGAAUCGACAGGCGGCCGCAGGUUGGCUCCGGGAGGGGCCUGGUAGCUGGCUACUACGGGCCAUGCACGGUCGUGGUCUCCGAUGCCUACGCGCCACAAGGGAGCCCGCGGGGCGGACCGGGCCACGUCGAGCCCCAGGCGCCGUCGUGAUCUGGCGCCGCUAUCCGCCGAGUCGCCGGAGGGCGAGAUGCUGAAAAUAUGUGUGGGGCGGCAAGCCGGAGUGGCCGCGUCGGGUCGACACGUCGGCCCUCGCGUACAUGUGCAUCCCUGUGGUAGGUGUGUUUCACUGUACUUGUGGUGUGCUACCAUCACUGUCCUGUGAGCAUCACCGAUAACUAAUCCGGCUGAGGUACAGUACUCGUUUUCUUUUUGCGAGUGAAGGUACAGUACUUGUUAGGAUUACACGUUAUAUCCCCUCAAAAAAAAAGGAUUACACGUUAUAAAGCUGCGGAAAUGAUUAUACACGAACAGAAUCGGUGUACAAAUAUUUUGUUGAUUUUGAUAUAAUAAAUAAAAGACGUAACCAUUGCAAGUCAUGCAAUUAUUUUGUUUGUAAAAAUGCAUUAUUUCAUAAAAAAUGUAAAAACAUGACCAUUAGCAAGUCAUGCAAAAAAUGUAAAACGAAUUAUGCAUAAUAAAAUUCUUACACGUUUAUGCAACUUAUUGCGCAACAAAUUCCCCCUUUUGGAGACAUUUCUAUCAAUCUUUUUCCCGUAAUUUUCUUAGCGUUUUUUGAUUUUCCCCAUAGCAUUUAAAGAUGAUUUCUGCAGUAUGUUAUUCAUGUUUUUUGUGCGGGCAUGUUAUUCUAGUGUUUGCUAACCACAUGCUCCAUGGGGUUACGUUAUUCAAGUGUAUGCUUCAUACUAGUACAGUUAUUAGGUGCCAUGCCGUAACAUCAAUGUAUUGCUUACGCAUAUCAUUUCAUUAGGGCAUCUCCAAUCAAUUACAUAUUAAGUCGCAUCAUUUACUUAAAACAUACAAAACAACCAACAACAUAAAAGGAGAAAGAGCAACCAGCUAAGGCAACGUAAUACCAGUUUCCUCCUAACAAACUUUUGUCAUACGCAGAAUUCCACAUGGCAUACUACAAUAUGCCUAAAACCUCGCAGAUGAGAGGCAACCUACUCGCCAACUUAUUCUUCCAUUGUAUAUUAGCUUGUCUGCAAAAUGGUGAUGUGUGAACCUCCCAACUUUCCAUGUUAGCAUGAAAAUUCUGUUUUGCUAGUGGACAAUGGAGGAAAAUAUUGCACGCUUUCUUAGAUGAAACAAAACUUGUGGGGCGAUUGACAAUAACUUCUCUCUCUCUCUCUCUCUCUCUCUCUCUCUCGCUCUCUCUCUCUCUCUCUCUCUCUCUCGCGCGCGCGCGCGUGUGUGUGUCUCAUAAAUAUUUCUACACACACAUUUACUUGUUUUGGAAGCAAGGGUGUGAAGAAGCCACCCAUAGUCUCACAUUGGUGUUGUCGAAGCUAGAAUUACAAAGGAAACGAUAUACCUAGUUUCAGGUGUUGUAUGAUAUGCCAUAACAUCGGUGUAUUGCUUACGUGUAUCAUAUGCCAGGGCAUCUCCAAUCAAUCAUAUGUAAAAUUGUAUCUUAGAGCUUUCACAUCAUUUUCAUCAAACAAAAUGAAUUAGCAGCUCAAAGGGAGAAAGAACGGCCAACACUGUACCAAUUUCCUUCUAAUGUCAUACGUAAAAUCCCAUAUAUCAUACUACCUACCAAUAUGCCUGAAAUGUCCUGUUGAAAGGUAACCUCCGCACCAAUGCAUUCUUCUAUCUAUCUUAGUACGCCUGCUUAAUGGUGAUGUGCAAAACUCCUAUAUUUCUACGUCCGCAAGAAAAUUCCUUAUUGUUGUUGGACAAUGAAGAAAAUAUUGCACGCUUUCUUAGGUGAAGGAGAACUUGUGGUGCGAUUGACAAUCUGUUCCCCAUCUCAGUUGGAGAUAAUUUUUUUUGGCACACACACUAACUUGUUACAAAAUGGAGGGCGUGAAGGGCCCACCCACAACCUCACUUGGUACCACGUGUCACCCGAUGUAUGGAGCUGGUGGAGCCAAAAUUAUUGAGAGAAUGAUAGGCACAUGUGUUGGUAAUAUCUCUUAGAGGCAGUCAUAGAGAUGAUUAUAUUUCAUUGUGUCCAUAAAUUGUUGAAUUUAACUUGAAUAAUAUCAUUUGUAUUCAUUGAUAAGUAUGUGAAUUGUUUGUAGAACUCUAUGCUUUAAUGAUUAUUCUAAACUAGUCCCUAGUUAGAGUUCAUACUUGGACAUUUAAGAAUACUAGACUAGCAUAUGAAUUGGUUGUUAACCACGUGUCAUAGGUCAUUGAAAUGAAGAUGUAGAACCAAUAAUGUGAACACAUAGUAUGAACCUGGGGCUGGACAAACCCAAAUUGACACAUAACGGGAAUGCUUUUAGUUGUCUAUUUACAAUGUAUAUGCUACAUCCUUAGACGUGAGACUAUCACAUGUACUUUUGAUGUGUAGUGAAUUAGGGGUUACCAAACGCUACUCCGUAACUAAGUAAUUAUAAAGAUUGCUUUUCUUGUUUAUCAUAAAACAUGCUUUAAGGCAUGCAUGUCAAGAUUGGAUUUGCUCCUCUCUUCAAUGAGAGAUAUGUCUAUGGGCCCCUAGAGUGAUCAGAUCCAGAAAUGCAUGGUUGUUCUACUUAUGGUUAAAGAGUUAACCUAGCAAAGAGUCCCAAGUCACAUGAUCAAGAAAGAGUGGUCAAGCUUGAGCAUAAUCAAUAUCUUCAGGCAAAGGGAAUAUCGUUUAUGCAACAUUGUGUAGGUUCGUCUGAUAUGAUCUUUACGUGCACUUGGAGGUUGACACAUUCUGCUAGGGGUCAUUACUAACUACUACCUCUGUCCGGGUUUAAAAGUUCCCUUAGCCAAAUCACCAACACCAAGACAUGCUCUACCACGAGAUCCCUGUAAGCUCGUGUCUAGUCUAACCAACUAGAAGGCCUCAUUUCUUAUUUAUACACCGGCUGCUAACCUCCCAAGCUUAACUGCAGCGCGUGCCCCACCAAAAGAAAGCGAAUGCAUUGGCUGCCUUUCUACUGUGGCCGCAUGCAGUAGCUGGGAAGUAGGAACGACUGCUGCAUGCUUUGGUUUGCACUUACUACCAUGGACACAUACCAAUGAGGAGAAGCGGGGCUUGCGCAAGCGACCUUUUAAUCCCGGACGAGACGUAGUGGAUCUCAAGCCCUUUAAUCCCGGACGGAGGUAGUAGUGACCAAGUAGAGGUACUCCGGUCAUGUACAAACGUGCGUGAGCCUGUAGUGUUACAUACUUAAAGGACAGAAGUCAAAACGGAUAUGAUCCAGAGGAUGUAAAGAAGAAAGGUGAUUGGGCCUUGAGCCCAUUAGGGGAAAGAGUUGAGGGAGCUCCCCAAGCCCUCAAGGGAUCGUCCCUUGUAAGGGGUGGGGGGUGGGGGUGAUGAGGGAUGCAUAAGAUGAAAGGUUGCUACUCUCGCACACACCCACUCUCCACUCCCGCACAAGAUUUCAGAGUUGCUACCAGAACUUUGCUAAUGGCUCUAUAUUUUACGCAUUUUUAGAGCUCAUUUGUCGCAUGUUCUCUUUAUAUAUCAUGUCCCGUUGAACCAAAUAGUUGUCCAUUAUACAUGUUUACCGGUAUUUGCACUUAUCAUUGUGAGCAUUGCACAUUUAGUAUUUUAUUUGGUUUUUAUUAGUUUUCCUUCUUUUCUUGUGUCUACAAGUGUUUUGGAGCAACCUAGGACCAAGCACGAUAAAAUGACCCAGGAUGGGUGAGGGAGUCCUGGAUAAUGGGGUAUCCGGACAGCCGGACUAUAUACUUUGGCCGGACUGUUGGACUAUGAAGAUACAAGAUUGAAGACUUCGUCUCGUGUCCGGAUGGGACUCUCCUUUGCGUGGAAGGCAAGCUUGGCGAUCCGGAUGAUAGAUCUCCUUCUCUGUAACCGACUCUGUGUAACCCUAGCCCCCUCCGGUGUCUAUAUAAACCGGAGGGUUUGGUCCGUAGGACAGGACAAUCAUAAUCAUAGGCUAGCUUCUAGGGUUUAGCCUCUACGAUCUCGUGGUAGAUCAACUCUUGUAAUACUCAUAUCAUCAAGAUCAAUCAAGCAGAAAGUAGGGUAUUACCUCCAUCGAGAGGGCCCGAACCUGGGUAAACAUCAUGUCCCCAGUCUCCCGUUACCAUUAGCCUUAGACGCACAGUUCGGGACUCCCUACCUGAGAUCCGCCGGUUUUGACACCGACAUUGGUGCUUUCAUUGAGAGUUCCUCUGUGUCGUCAUUAUAAGGCUUGAUGGAUCCUUCAAUCUUCAACAACACAGUCCAGGGUGAGACUUUUCUCCUCGGACAGAUCUUCGUGUUCGGCGGCUUCGCACUGCGGGCCAAUUCGCUUGGCCAUCUAGAGCAGAUCGACAGCUACCCCCUGGCCAUCAAGUCAGGUUUGGAAACUUAAAUUACGCGGCCGAUAUUCGCGGAGACUUGAUCUUCGACGGAUUCGGGCUUGCAUCAGGAGUGCCGAACAGUCACGACGAGCAUGGCUUAAAUCUGCUAUCGGACAGUAUUUCAGAUAUCGCCCCUGCAACCGCUCCGGACCUAAAUCCGGGGCAGAUUGCAUAGACCGAGGACGGGUGGAUAGACCCCGCCACGGAGGCCGCAUACUCUUUGGCGGUAGAGCCGAACACAGACUCCACCGUCAAGGGGAUCUGCGCCACCGGACCCCCGGACCUGUGUCCGGGCGUGGGCUCCAAACCGCGCGCGUCCGGACCCAUCGAGUCCGAUUGGGCUCUAAUAAUGGAGUUCACCACCGCGGAUAUCUUUCAGCACUCCCCCUUCGGCGAUGUGCUAAAUUCGUUAAAGUCUCUCUCUUUAUCAGGAGACUCUUGGCCGAACUAUGCCCAGCCCGUGUGGGACACGGAUGACGAAGAAAGUCGCAACCCACCCACCACCCACUUUAUAGUCUCUGUCGAUGACCUAACAGACAUGCUUGACUUCGACUCCGACAACAUCGAUGGUAUGGACGUCGAUGUAGGGGACGAUCUGGAACCACCACCCACGGGGCGCUGGACUGCCACUUCAUCAUAUGACGUCUACAUUUUGGAUACGCCUAAAGAAGACAAUGGUGACAAAAAGGACACAACGGAGGACAAACCCCCCGGACAAAAGUCAAAACGAUGAUGCAGGCGCCGCUCUAAGUCUAGUCACAGUAAAAAUGGCGAUAACAACGCAAGAAAGGUUGACACUCCGGUCGACUGGAAGGGCAACAACGACCAUAUGGACCCAGCGAUGGAGCAGGAUAAGCUAGGUCACGCCGAACACAACUCGGAGCAGACGCUUGAUAAUAGCGAUCCCGAGGGCCGAACUCAUCAAACCACCCCCGAAGAGGAUGAGAGUCCGGUCGACGAUGCAUUCAUCAUCCUGGAAAAACGUUUGGAAAAAGAUAACCUCCGCAGAAGGUUUAUUGCCACGGCGAGGAGCUUAAAGAAGCAGAAGCAAAGGCUUAACACCGCGCAGGACAUCUUCAAACGAAGAUGGAAGAAAGUGCUAGACACUGAAGAAAAAUACGGCGAUGAUCGCCACACAAAGAGCUACCAAAGUGCAAGCUACUACUCGAAUUCGACAAUGAAGCCUUAGAGCCCAUUCCACCAAAGAAUACUACGACCGAUCAACCGGACCAACCACCUCAUGGCCACGAUAGAGCAGCCACCGGUGCCGCACACAAGCCAACCCACGAUCUACGUGAGCUCUUGGACAAAAAGGCUGGUGCGAAAGGUCCAUUUACGGAUCUAGAGGACGAGUUCUGACACAAGAUUAUGGUCACCAAAAUCAUAAUGAUCAAAUACCAGUUCAGAAUCAAACCCGGACACAACAACCGUCGACAGUAUGCCACAACAUGUCCAAGUACAGAGGGGCUGCGCACCCCCUGUGUUUCACCGACGUGGUGCUGGAUCACGAAUUCCCACAGGGAUUCAAACCCGUGAACAUAGAGGCAUACGACGAAACGACAGACCCUGGGGUCUAGAUUGAAGAUUUUAUCCUUCACAUACACAUGGCUCGUGGGUACGACCUCCACGCCAUCAAAUACCUUCCCCUCAAGUUUUAAGGACCAGCUCGGCAUUGGUUGAAAAGCCUCCCCGAAAACUCAAUUGGAAGUUGGGAGGAACUUGAGGACGCUUUCAGGGCAAAUUUCCAAGGGACCUAUGUCCGACCCCCAGAUGCAAACGAUUUAAGUCAUAUAAUACAACAGCCCGGAGAGUCAUCCCGUAAGCUUUGGAACAGACUUCUCACUAAGAAGAAUCAAAUUGUUGAUUGUCCGGAUGCCGAAGCCUUAGCAGCCUUCAAGCAUAGUAUCCGGGACGAGUGGCUUGCCAGACACCUCGGCCAAGAAAAGCCAAGGACGAUGGCGGCCCUAACAAGCCUUAUGACCCGCUUUUGUGUGGGCGAAGAUAGUUGGUUAGCACGUAGAGGCACCAGCGACCCAGGCACAUCUGAAAUUCGAGAUGGCAACAGGAAACCACGACGCAAUAAGCAUAAGCGUCGAAACAAUGAAGCAGGUCCGGACAACACGGUGGUCAACACCGGAUUCAGGGGCCCUCGACCCGGUCAAAGAAAGAAGCCAUUUAAGGGCAGCAAUGAGGAACCGUCCGGCCUGAAUAAAGUCCUGGACAGAUCAUGCCAAAUCCAUGGCACCCCCGAAAAACCUGCAAAUCGUACUCACAGAGAAUGUUGGGUCUUCAAGCAGGCCGGCAAGUUAAACGCCGAACACAAAGGAAGGGUAACACCAAGUGAAAACGAGGAUGAGCCACGACAGCCGAACACUGGGGGAUAGAAAAAAUUCCCACCAGAAGUCAAAACAGUAAAAAUGGUCCACGCAACUCACAUAGAGUUCGUUGCCCCCAAGUUCAACCCCUGGGAGGCCUGCCCGAUCACUUUUGAUCACAUGGACCACCCGGCCAGUAUCCGGCACGGAGAAUCGGCUGCCUUGGUGCUCGACCCAAUAAUUGAUGGAUACCAUCUCACUCGAGUCCUAAUGGACGGCGGCAGUAGUAUUGAUCAGAUAUAUCAGGACACUAUCCGCAAGAUGGGGAUAUACCCAUCCAGAAUAAGCUAGAGUAACACCACCUUUAACGGAGUGAUACCAGGCAUUGAGGCCCGCUGCCGGGGCUCCCUCGUAUUAGAAGUGACAUUUGGUUCUCCUGACAACUUCAGAAGCGAGGAAUUACUCUUUGAUAUUGCUCCCUUCAGCAGCGGUUAUCAUGCAUUACUCGGAAGAACGGCCUUCGCUUGCUUUAACGCAAUACCGAACUACGCCUGCCUUAAACUUAAGAUGCCCGGUCCACGUGGCGUCAUAACGGUUAAUGGAAACACAGAGUAGUAUGCGACAGCUCCCGUAGCCAGACACUAAGCGGCCUCUCCCACCAGAACGCAUGAUCGGUCGUUAAGACCACGGACACGGCUAGACAAGUCCGGUGCACCAUCAUCAACAACAGCCCGGUAAACCCGGGCUGGGUGCUAUACAUAUAUCCCCAUAAAUGGUACUAGGGGCUGUCAACACAUAAUAAAGCCCACAAUUCGGCUUGCCUUAUCAAUAGGCCAAUAUCUCAUAUUUCUAAUAUCCAUUGAGAACAACCAACUUCCCGCAUGCUUACUCCUCUAUAUGAGUUUUCGUUUUUACAGACACUACUCGUGCGACACCCUUCCAGGAUACGACACAACGAAGACAAAGGCGCAGACGUGCAGCAGGGCCCCGCUCAAAGGUUUCUCUUUAGAUUAAGCCCCUGCAUAAACCUUCUUUACUGUCUUUUGUUGCUUGACAUCCCAUGGGUAUUCCAUACACCCACAAGGGACACUGGCAUUAUAGGCUUUUUGCCACGACAGAUUAAUGCACGUACCUGGAAAUACAGGGUCAAGGGUGUAACUCAGCCUAGUAUAUGUUAUAAAGUCCGAAUACCUUCGGGAGUGUUCGGCGUCGCGAGUUUGGCCUUAUAUGCAUCAGCACCGAAUCAUGUCUUUGGUCAAAUGUUGGGUUAGCCCGGCUCCUGGGUUUGCCGCCUUACGUUUAGUUCUAUCGGCUAAGGCGGCCAAAGGAGAACUACUGCGAUUGUGCCUUGGUUAUUCCGGAUGAGCACCUCAGUAGAGAGAGCCGAAAACUGACUGUCAUGAUACAACGAGAGACUGUUCAACCACUUGAAGACUCAUCGAAAUCUAUAGGAUUCCUUCGCAUUAAUGAAGGACCGAUUCGCGGUCAUGUACAUAUGCGACCCUAUCCAGAUGCACGCGGAAGUACCAGGGGCUACGUAGUAGCCCCACCUUUAAACUCCUAUGACUAAGUGGAAGUGUUACAUCUAUAUAGUCCGGUUGCCUGAUUCGAUGUGCGAUCACCUCCUUCAUGGACCAAGACAUUGGAUCAAGUGUGUUUACAUAUUUUUUUGAACACCCCUGCAUUAUAUGCGUGGGGGCUAAAGCCAACGACUGCUAACUUUCAUGUUAUAUGCAUACAUAAACGACCACACAGGAGACAUUAUAAUACUUUCAGGCAAAAGUAUAAAAACAACCUCUAUAAUUAACACAUAAUUGUUUACAAUCAAUAGACGAGAGUCACUCGAACAUGACAUUCUUCGAGCACUAAGCCUCUAUUCUACGGGCACCUUCUAUGACUUGCUCAAAAUAGUGCUCGGCUGGGUCUUGGCUUCCUGCUGGACCCUGGGUUGCAAUGCUGGUGGCCUCCAUAUCCACCCAAUAUGUCUUAACACGGGCAAGAUCCAUCCGCGCACCCUCUAUGCACGCCAACCUCUUCACGGCAUCAAUUCGCGAUCUAGCGCCAAAUAGUUGCUGCACUAAACCAAAGUAACUGUUCGACCUCGGUCCUUUCGGCCAUAGAUGGUCUAUUACAGACCUCAUUGCAAGACCGGACAACCUAUGGAGCUCAGCUAUAGCGGCCAUCUUCUCACUUAAUGGCAAUGAGCGCGUUGGAGCGCUAAAUUGCGACCAGAAUAGCCUCUCUAUUUCAUUAUCUUUAUGAUCCUUGAAUAACUUGGUCGCAUCAGCGUACUCUUCGCCAAGUCCGCGUACUCAUCUGCAGCGCUCCAAAGUUGAUCCAAAGGAGCAUACUUUGGAUCUAAGAACUUCAUCCGCAACAAAUAGGGGUUUCCAGCCGCGAUUUCUCCAGCUUGUCGAAGUUCCUCCCGUGCAUCUCUAAUGUUAGAGUGCAUCUCCUUAGCCGAAUCCAGCACCUUCUUCAGGUCAACCGCCUUUGCCUGAUUCUCCUUCUCGAGAAGCUCAUACCGGACGGCGGCGUCCCUCAGCCCCACAACCAUCUCGGCUAUCUUUUCUUCGCUUUGGAGAUGAGCAGCCUGUUCGGCUCCCAAGUCUUCGGCUGCCUUUAGGGCAGCCGCAUUGCUAACUCGGGCUUGUUCCUUGGCUAGGGCAAGCUCCGCCCUCAGGGCCUCAAUGGCAGCAGCUCCGCCUGCAGCCACAUCACAUCAUAUUAAUAUUAUAACCUUCUUACAGUUUCCUAAACAAAUAAGGAAAUACGAGCGCAUACUCUACGACUCGUCGAAUCGCUUGUUUACAAGCGUGAUGUCGGCAUCCACCACGUCAACCUGUCGCCUCAAUUCGGCGAAUCCAGCGGUCUGGUCUACCGCCGGACCCUUAGCAACAUGCACAUCAAUACAAGUGCGAUUAUUACCUGGGAGUGUGAUCCUCCGUUUGCCGCCAUGGGCUGGCAACCACAGUCUCAGGGGCUACUAUCUAUACAGAGCACAUCUAUCGCGUGCGGUGCAACCAAAAAUUACGUAUUUCAUUGCUUACCUCAAAGCCCUUGAGCAAGCUUCUAAAAGCUUCAUUUAACCCGCUUGUGGCCGAAGAAAUUUUCUCCAACACCGUACCCAUUAGUGUACGGUGAUCCUCCGAGAGAGCAGCUUGCUCCAGGAGGCCCGUCAGUAUGUUCGGCCGGGCACCAGACUCUCCCGGACCCUUCUCAUUGCCCUCCACAGGAGCUGAACGCGUUGGGCUCGGGACGGCCGAAGUGUUAGCUUCUGGCCUCAGUGGAUCUAGACUCCUCCGUGACGACACCUUAGGGUCGCCUGCCCCAUGGGGCGGAGAGGCAGGUGGGGUUUCACUCUCCAUCAUCUCCGGAAGAAGAUCGCCCGAGGACGAACCCUGUUGAGACGAACUGCUAGCCGGACUGCAAAAAAUAGGUCCUGGUUAUUACUCUCAGAGGAAAAAGCAAUAAGCUUCUUGUUUAUUAACUUACAACUUGGUGGAGGGCUGGUCCGUUAGCGGGCAUGGUGCGGUAAGAACGCCCUUCGGGGCAGGGCCCUUUGGUGAAGUUUUCUUCCCUUGUUUAGGCGCAUCCGUUUCCAAGUCUUCGGAGGCGGCCCUCUUCCUCCCGCGGGGGGAGGAAAGCUUAGAUUCACCUCCCCGAUUGUCCUCCUCCAUGGAAACAUUAAUUCCCCCGGUUCGGAUGCAUAAUGUGUGAAGCUCACUCUUGGCUUCUCCACUCCUCCCUUCAUCUUUCUCCGAUGGCACUUGACUUAGCUCCCGUUUAAGCAUCCUGGCUAUUGCCAGACUGGGUGAGACUUCGGGAAGCGGGGCCAGACACCUGAUUCUCUCUGCCUUACUGAGCCAAUCUUGGUCGCGGACAGUUUUUCAGAACAAUGUUAUGAUAACUAUAAACGAAGUGUUCGGUCACAGGGUUACUUACUUGGGUAUCUGGGCGGUUGCAGCUCAGGCCCGCAUCCUCGGUGGUGUCCGGACACUUUAUUCAUGGUCCGAAGAACAACUUAUACAUUCCUUCAGGCGUCAUGCCGAAGAAGUGCUGAAUGGUUCGCGGACCUUCUGGAUUGAACUCCCACAUCCGAAGAGGUCGACGUUUACAUGGCAGGGCCCGCCGAACUAGCAUUAGCUGGAUUAUUUUGACAAGACUAAUAUCCCUCUCGAGAAGCUCCCGAAUGCGGCUCUGCAACGUCGAUACAUCAUUUGCAGGCCCCCAGUCUAGUCCCACGUUGGCCCAUGACGCCAGUUGAGGCGGAGGGCCCGAGUGGAAGGCGGGGCGGCCGCCCACUUUGAGCCUUGGGGAGCUGUGACAUAGAACCAUCUCCGUUACCAUAGAUCGGACACCUCCAGGAAGGAACCUUCGGGCCACGGGGCAUCGACGUUUCUGUUUAUUUUGGCGCCUCCGCACUCUGCGUAUCGCCUCUCGAUCACCCUCGGCUUCACACUGAAGGUCUUGAGCCAUAAGCCAAAGUGUGGGGUGACAUGGAGGAAGGCUUCGCACACGAUGAUAAACGACAAGAUGUGAAGGAUGGAAUCCGGAGCUAGAUCGUGAAAAUCUAGUCUGUAAUAGAACAUGAGCCCUCUCACGAAGGGAUCAAGAGUCAAGCCCAAGCCCCGGAGGAAGUGAGAGACAAAUACGACACUCUCGUUGGGCUCAGGAGUAGGGAUAACCUGCUCAGGGGCGGGAAGCAUGUGCUUAACAUCGGCAGUCAAAUACCCGGCCUCCCUAAGCUUCACAAUGUCCUCCUCUGUGACAGAGGAAGCCAUCCACCGGCCUUGAUGGUCGCAUCCGGACAUGAUCGAAGAUCCGAGGUGCUUAAGCUUGAGCUUUGGGUGUUGGAACUCGAAGUGCGGGAAGGUGCAAGCGUGGAGAUAGAGGGAUAGGCCUUGACCCCUCUAUAAAGGGGGAGAAUAUCAAGCGUCCCCAGCGUAACCGUUCGGGACUUGCCUAAAAACACGGAGUCAUGCCAACAUGCAUGCUUGGAUUACCAUACCCGUAUUGAUCAGGAUGCCAUGAUAAGAGGGACACGAUCUCUGCUUUGACAAGACGUGCCAAAGGAACCACCUCGUAAUGUGUGCGGUAGCUGGUUAUAAAAAACGGUUCGAAUAAAUGCCGGACCGUGGCGUGAUGUCACGUUUCGAAGAUUUGUCAGCAGAUUAGAUUCGUGGAUUAUUAUUCUCUCUACGGUGGUAUGUGGAAUUUAUCUUGCAGAGCCAGACACGGUCCUUUUGAUCGGAAUUUAUCUUGAAGUAUUCGGAGAUGGAACCCGCCUUGCAAUGCCGAAGACAAUCUGUGCGCCGGACUCAUCAUCAUUGAAGCCUGGUUUAGGGGCUACUGAGGGAGUCCUGGAUAAGGGGGUAUCUGGACAGCCGGACUAUAUACUUUGGCCAGACUGUUGGACUAUGAAGAUACAAGAUUGAAGACUUUGUCCCGUGUCCGGAUGGGACUCUCCUUUGCAUGGAAGGCAAGCUUGGCGAUCCGGAUGAUAGAUCUCCUUCUCUGUAACCGACUCUGUGUAACCCUAGCCCCCUCCGGUGUCUAUAUAAACCGGAGGGUUUGGUCUGUAGGACAGGACAAUCAUAAUCAUAGGCUAGCUUCUAGGGUUUAGCCUCUAUGAUCUCGUGGUAGAUCAACUCUUGUAAUACUCAUAUCAUCAAGAUCAAUCAAGAAGGAAGUAGGGUAUUACCUCCAUCGAGAGGGCCCGAACCUGGGUAAACAUUGUGUCCCUAGUCUCCUGUUACCAUUAGCCUUAGACGCAUAGUUCGGUACCCCCUACCCGAGAUCCGCCGGUUUUGACACCGACAAUGGGUUUGAUAUGGAGUCAGCCAGGGGUCAGACUUAGUCAUUUUGAAAGUCAGAAAAAUUCAUUUUUCCAAAGUGCUCCAAAUCAAUAUCUAAGUCCAGAAAUGGAUCAGUGUCGUUCAUACAAAUCCAACAAGCCCAAGAACGUCAAAUUCUGAGUUCGCAUGAAGAUUUGGCAGCCGUUUGACGUGUAGACAACUCCGAAAGUUGCCCUACCAGACGGGAUUCUUCACCGAUUUCGUCCAUGUUUGAUCCCAGGGGAUCCUCGGCUCGUAAAGAAGAGAUUGGGUGAGGAUUUGACUCAUUGAGAGCCCUUGGAUGAAGCCCAUAAAGAGAGGAGGCUAGGGAGGCUCCUAUAUAUGUCAUCAACCCUAUCUGCCGCAUCCAUCAUACACACCAGGUCAUUCAUCUCAUUCAUCCACAACCAUCUCCAUUGCUCCACCACCAAGAGAAGGAAGGGACAAUCACCAAAAAAAGAAGAAGGAGGUUCCACCACCAUGAGCAGUGGCCUUCGGGCUCGCGCCCUCGCGCCGGCGCCGCCACCAUAGGUGGUGCCCCCAUCUCCAUCACCACUGGCGCCACCACCAUCUUCAUCACCAUCACCACCGCGUCGCCUCCAUCACCACCAUGUCUUCUCUCUUCACCAGCUUGAUGCUAGAUUGUAACUUGUCCCCAACCUUCAUGUGUUUGAUUGAGUAGUUGUACUAGUUCUUGAGGAUGGUUGAACCCUAUAUGAUAUUUGUUGUGAUCAAAUAUUACCUGUUCAUGAUUCGUGUUAGUAGCCUUCGCGAAUGUUGACAGGAGCACUCAAUCGCAUUUGUGCCUUGUGUCGUGAAGUAUGUUACAAUCCUUGUGAUGGUUGGGGAUAUUAGGGUAAGUAGAGGUGACAAUAAAAGCCUCGGUUCCUCGCCCUUGCAAAUGAUUGGGGAGUAACGAAGAACCCUUAGAGAGGCCACUUCCAUGGAGAAACCCUUAAUUAUCAUUAAUUGUAACCUUAUGGGGGAGACUAUGAUGGUGAUGUGCGUGGCAUGAAGUCUACCUUGAGUGGAACGUGUAUUCUACCCGGCUCCACCCACUUAUGUAUCUGACCGGUUACUAGAGGAUACGAUAGUUCAUAUGUGGUAGUGAUUCCAGAACCCUCAAGAACACUUCACUACUCAAGCGCCGUCUUACUAACUUAGUGUCAUUUAAUUCCUAUUUUUAUUCUUCUUGUUAGUAGUUUAGUCAAAUCCCUUUUAUCUAGUUUUCCUAGCAAUGAUAGAGUAGACUAUUUCCAAACUCCCGUUUGGGUGCCUACGUGGCUGCGUGAAGGUGACAACAUAGUUGCGGGGUUUGUGGUGCCUUCCUAUUAGCUGCCUAUGGGUUCGACACUCUACUUAUCACGACGAAAGUGCUACAAUAGCCUUGUGCACUUGCAGGUCAUCAAGCAUUUUUUGGAGCCAUUGCUGGGGAGCAUAGCGCUUGGUCAUUACUUACCCACUCACACUUAGUUCCUUUGUUUGUUGACAUUUAUCUUACUGUUUUUCUCUUAGCCCAAAAAUACCAAAAAUAUGUCUUGUCCUGAGAUGUCUUCUGCAGAUGCUGCAAUAGAACAAACCGAAAAGAGAGGAAUGACGUAUGCCCAUUACUGGUAUUCUCUUAAAGGUAUUGAUGUGGAAACAAAAUAAAAUUCUUGGAUUACUAUGCUGAAGAUAUAUUUAAAUUCCGUACUUUUUGUGAGUAUUGCCAGUACAAUGAGCAUAUGAGUUUUUAUUGCAAGUUCCACCCUUGCCUUAUUAUAUCGUCAUACAAUCAUGAUGAUUAUCCUUUUGAUUAUGUUGAAUCGAUUGAGGAGCAAGUACUAUUCCUUAGAACCUCUUAACUUAUGAGAAGGGUAAAAGAGCUUACUCUGUACUAUCUAGAGGUUUCUACAUAUAAGAGUAACUUGCAGGAUAUCCAUGACUUCUGCAUUACUAAUAAUUUUAAUAGAAAUACUUCUUUCAUGGAAUAUGAGAAGCGGAAUCUCAUAAGGCUCUCAAUUACAGGAAAAUAACCUCAUGAAAGAAAUCGAGGAAAUACUCGAGCGGUGGAAGAGAAAUACACUAGAAGCUACAUUCUAGGAAGUAUGUCUAAGAGCAAGAAGAAAAAUGAACACGGAGAUGAAGGAGGGAAAGGCCACCUUCCGACAACUCCUACUAAUCAUGGUAACUUUCUAGACACAAUUAAUGGCCAGCUCGAUGAUCAUUUAUCAUAUCUACAUUCUGCCAGAGCUUUCAUGAAACCUAUUGAAACAAUGCUUGAAUGUUUUCCACCAGAGGAUAUUGUGAGAGCUAAUGUUUCAAAGUUAUAUGUUGUGCAUGAACUAGAUAUUGCCAUUGUCCCUGAUGUGCCUUCAAUGACUCCUUUUGAUGAAAUGUCAAUUGACAUUUGCCUUAAGGGCGAGAUAGCACAAAAGGAGGGUGAGUUGCUUGCAUUACGAGAAAUACCAGAAAGUGAUGCAACCACCGAGAUGGCUAAUCAUUACUCAUUACCUGUGGAUUGUUGAUAUUGGACAAACCCCAAAUUGCAUAUUCAUAAAUUGAUCUUGAUGAUAUAUGGGUUGAUUUUCUACAUGCUCUCCAUAGACCUCCUUUGGAGAGUAAAUUGCAAAGCCUUAUAGAUGAUAAUAGCCUUGAUAUUGAAUUUGUGAAUUUGGAUACUAACAUUCCCAGGUACACUCAAGAUGAAUCCAUAUCCUCUUUGUUUCAAAAAUAUUAUCAAAUUCCAGCUACUGAAACUUUCAGGCAUCUCAGCUGAACUGUGUGCAUCGGUACUCGCCAAAGAGCUAGUACGAAUUUACUUAUAUGAUGCUAAUGCAACGUAAGCGAGUGCGACUCCGACCGAGCCUUGCUAUGAGGUGCUCCAAACCCCGGUCGGAGUCUAGCCUCACACUCGUGGUUGAUAUCCCUUGGGAUCCGGGUGGAUGACCUUACGAAGCACCGAAGCCUAGCUAUAUGGCUAUAAAUAAAGCACUGCUUGGGAGGUAACCCGGAAGUCCAUAGGUGUCUUUUUUAGCUUUGUGUCUUGAGUCUAUAUGCAUUCAUUAUUGCAUUGGCACUUCUAUUUUUUGAUUUGAGUAGUUGCUAUUUGAGUUGGUUGCAAUAGUUUCUGUUGGUAAAACUUAUAGCAUGUCGGUAGCCUAUUUUUGUUGCAUACCUCCUCCUAUUUUUAUUGCAAUAUUGCUAUGUGCCUAAUGUGAGGAGGAAGCACAAAAAAUUUCAUGAAGUUCUGCAGGUCCAGGAGAAAAAAAUGACAUUACAUUACAUUCAUGAAUUUCCUGAAGUCUUGAAGGUAAUGAUAUGCACCCAGGUGUAACGAGAGAAAUCGUCAACUAUGACGAAUCCAUAGAGUGAUGCUGCAUUGGUUAGUGUGGCAUAAUGUGUAGGACCAAAUAGAUCCAUAUGAAGUAAUUCAAAGGGACGAGUAGUGGUUGAUACGUCUCCAAUGUAUCUAUAAUUUAUGAAGUAUUCAUGCCAUGUUUACAACAAUUUUAUAUGGUUUUGGUAUGAUUUGCAUGGAACUAACCCGAACUGACGUUGUUUUCAACAGAACUACUGUGGUGUUGUUUUUUGUGCAGAAAUGAAAGUUCUUCAAAUGAGCUGAAACUUUUUGACAAUUUUUUGGAACAAAAGAGGCACUAGAAGCUUCAUGGGGAGGGGGGGAUACGUCUCCAACGUAUCUAUUUUUUUGCUUGUUCCAUGCUGUUAUAUUAUCAUUCUUGGAUGUUUUAUAAUCAUUUUAUAGCAAAUUUAUAUCAUGUUUUGGGACUAACCUAUUGACAUAGUGCCCAGUGGCAGUUGCUGUUUUUGCUUGUUUUUUACUUUGCAGAAAAUCAAUAGCAAACGGAGUCCAAACAUAGCAAAACUUUUUGGAGAUUUUUUGGACUAGAAGACACCUGUUGGGCCAAAGAAGUACCAGAGGGGGGCUCCGAGGGGAGCACAACCCACCUGGGCGUGCCUGGGGGCCCAUGCGCGCCCUAGUGGGUUGUGCCCACCUUGGCCGCCUCCCCCACCGCCUCUUUGCUCUAUAAAUACCCCAAAAAUCCAAAAACCCUAGGGGAGUUUACGAAACACAAUUCCAGCCGCCGCAAGUUCCAGAACCACCAGAUCCAAUCUAGACACCAUCACGGAGGGGUUCAUCAUCCUCAUUGGUGCCUCUUUGAUGUUGCGUGAGUAGUUCAUUGUAGACCUACACGUCUGUAGUUAGUAGCUAGAUGGGUUCUUCUCUCUCUUUUGAUUCUCAAUACAAUGGUCACUAGGAGAUCAAUUUGAUGUAACUCUUUUUGUGGUGUGUUUGUUGGGAUCCGAUGAGCUUUGAGUUUAUGAUGAGAUCUAUUUUAUCCAUGAAAGUUAUUUGAGCCUUCUUUUGAUCUCUUAUAUGCAUGAUUACUUAUAGCCUCGUAUUUCUUCUUUGUAUCUUUGCUUUCGCUAGGCCGACUAGAUCGAUUAUUCUUGCCUUGGGAAGAGGUGCUUUGUGAUGGGUUUAGUCAUGUGGUGUUCUUUCCCAGUGACAGAACGGGCAGCAAGACACGUAUUGAUCGUUGCCAUUAAGGAUAACAAGAUGGGGUCUAUUCCUACAUGAAUAGAUCUUGUCUGCAUCAUGUCAUCGUUUUUAUUGCAUUACUCCGUUUCUCCAUGAACUUAAUACACUAGAUGCAUGCUGGAUAGCGGUCGAUGUGUGGAGUAAUAGUAGUAGAUGCAGGCAGGAGUCGGUCUACUAAUCUUGGAUGUGAUGCCUAUAUAAUUAUCAUUGCCUGGAUAUCAUCAGAAUUAUCUGAAGUUCUAUGAAUUGCCCAAAAGUAAUUUGUUUACCCACUGUAUGCUAUUUUCUCGAGAGAAGCCACUAGUGAAAUCUACGACCCCGGGUCUAUUUUCUCAUCAUAUAUUUUCAGAUCUAUAUCGCUAUUUUCCCUUUUUUAUUUAUUUGCAUCUUUUAUUUUUAGAUCUAUAUUAUCAAACACCCAAAAAUACCUCGCUGAAUUUUAUUUACCGUUAUUUGCAUCUAUCAAUCUACCACAAUUUUUAUCCCGUCAACAUGACAAUUUCUCGCACCAUUACCUAGAAGGGAUUGGCAACCCCUUUUACACGUCGAGUUGCAAGUAUUUUUUCUUUAUGUGCAAGUACCGUUUACAUAGUGUUGCUUGGUUCUCCUACUAGUUCGAUAACCUUGGUUUCAUAACUGAGGGAAAUACCCACCGAAGCCGUGAUGCAUCAUCCCUUCCUCUUUGGGGAAAUACCGACGUAGUUCAAGCGACAUCAAAAGGAAUUUCUGGCGCCGUUGCCGGGGAGACAUCAUCAACAUCUAUCAGGUUCCUAAUCACAAAUCUCAUCUCCUUGCAAUUUACAUUAUUUGCCAUUUUCCUCUCAUUUUCAUCUCUCCCACUUCAAUUUUUUAUAUUUUAUUUGCCCUCUUUUUCGUUCGCCGUUUUCUCGUCGGAUCUAUUUUUGUGUGCAAUCUUGUUUGCGUAGUCACGAUGACUCAAGAGAACACAAAGUUGUGUGAUUUUUCCAAUACCAACAACAAUGAUUUUAUUAGCACUCUGAUUUCUCCUCCCGCCACUAGUGCAGAAUCUUGUGAUAUUAAUGCCUCUUUGUUGAAUCUUGUUAUGAAAGAUUAGUUUUCCGGUACUCCUAAUGAGGAUGCCGCAUUCCAUCGUAACACAUUCGUAGAACUAUGUGAUAUGCAAAAGAAAAAAAUAUGUGGACAAUGAUAUUGUGAAGUUGAAAUUAUUUCCGUUUUCUUUGCGAGAUCGUGCAAAAAUUUGGUUUUCUUCUUUGCCUCGCAAUAGUAUCGAUUCUUAGGAUAAAUGCAAAGAUGCUUUCUUUACUAAGUAUUUUCCUCCCACGAAAAUUAUUUCUCUUAGAACCCAAAUUAUGAAUUUUAAGCAACUUGAGCAUGAACAUGUUGUAGAAUCUUGGGAAAGAAUGAAAUUGAUGCUAAGAAAUUGUCCUACACAUGGUUUAAAUCUUUAGAUGAUCAUACAAAAUUUUUAUGCGGUAUUGAAUUUUGUCUCUAGAAAUAUUUUAGAUUCCGCCACGGGUGGUACUUUUAUGGAUAUCACAUUGGGAGAAGCUACUAAAUUGCAAGAUAAUAUCAUGGGAAAUUAUUCACAAUGGCAUACCGAAAGGGCACCUACUAGUAAAAAAGUUAAUUUGGUUGAAGAAAUUAGUACUUUGAGUGAAAAAGUUGACGCUCUUAUGAAAUUGGUUGCUAAUAAAAAUCCUCCUAUUGAUCUUAAUGAUGUGUCUUUGUCUACUUUGAUUGAGCAAAAUAGUGAUGCCAUAGAUGCGAAUUUUAUCUCGCGAAGCAAUUUCAAUAACAAUGCUUAUAGAGGUAAUUUUAAUCCUAGGCCUUUUCCUGGGAAUUCCUCUAAUAAUUAUGGUGACUCCUAUGGUAACCCUUCUUAUAGUAAUAAUAGGAACACCUUGAUCUUGAGAAUAAUAUUAAAGAAUUUAUCAAUGCUCAAAAAGUUUUCAACAAUACGAUAGAAGAAAAGUUGAAUAAGAUUGAUGAUAUGUCUAGAAGCAUUGAUAUAAUUUCUCAUGAUGUAGAAAAUCUCAAGAUAAAAAAAUUUGUACCCAAGGUUUAGGAAUCAAUUAAAGCUUUAUAUGUUUCUAUGGAUGAAAUUAAGAAAAGAACCUCUAUGCUUAGAGCUAAAAGAGAAUUUUUAGAAAAAUCAUUUUCUUGUGAUUGCUUUCGUAGAAGUGAUGAAGAUCUUAAAGUGAUUGGUGUUUCUUCUAUUGAUUCCUUGUUUAGUAAGAUUAAAAUUGAUGAUAAAGCAACUAGAGAAGAGUCAACUUUAGCUAGAAGGCGUCCAAUAAUUCGGUGGGUGAAUAUCUUGAUGAAAAAUUGAUAAAAGUGGGUUUGGAGAGGUCAAAACUUUAGCUAAUUAUGUGCCCACUCUUUUGGAUUACAAAGACUUUAAUUAUGAUAGUUGCUCUUUUAUUGAAUGUAUUUCUUUGUUGUAAUCCAUGAUAAAUUCACCCCAUGCUUACGAACAAAAUAAAGCUUUUACUAAACAUAUCGUAGAUGCUAUGAUGAAAGCUUUUGAAGAAAAGUUGGAAUCAGAGAUCUCAAUUCCUAGAAAAUCACAUGAUGGAUGGGAACCUACCAUCAAAGUCAAGAUCAAAAAUUAUGAGUGUUUUGCUUUAUGUGAUUUGGGUGCUAGUGUUUCUAGAAUUCCGAAAUCUUUAUGUGAUGUCCUUGGUCUUACCAAUAUCGAUGAGUGUUCUUUAAAUUUGCACUUGGCGGAUUCUACUAUUAAAAAACCUGUGGGAAGAAUUAAUGAUGUCCUUAUGUUUGCAAAUAGAAAUUAUGUGCCCAUAUACUUUAUUGUUCUUGAUAUUGAUUGUAAUCCGUCUUGCCCAAUUAUACUUGGUAGACCGUUUUUACGCACUACAAGUGCCGUGAUUGAUAUGAAAGAAGGCAACAUUAAAUUCCAAUUUCCACUAAGAAAGGGUAUGAAGCACCUCCCUAUAACAGGAAUUAAGCCACCAUAUGAAUCAAUCAUGAGGGCAUCUUAUGGAUCUAGAACUAAUGAUGAUAAUACUUAGACCUAUGCUUUAUGCCUAGCUAGGGGCAUAAAACGAUAGCGCUUAUUGGGAGGCAACCCAAUGAAUAAUUUUUUUGUCUUGUUAUUUCUGUUCUUGAGUGUUUGAACAAUUAUGCCUCUGAUUAGAUGUGUUUUAAUGUUUUAAUUAGUGUUUGUGCCAAGUUAAACCUUUGGGAUCAUGUUGGGUGAUAGUUGAUUUGAUCUUGUUGAAAAACAGAAACUUUUGCACUCAGUAAAAUAAUUUUCAUAAAUCACACAAACGUGCUUUUUCUCUGAAUUUUUUUACACAAGAUUGAUGUACAAAUUACCCACAUUGUCCUAAUGUUUCAGAAUUUUUGGAGUUACAGAAGUAUAUGAAGUUUUCAGAUUGCUACAGGUUGUUCUGUUUUUCACAGUUUCUGUUUUCUUUGCAUUGUGUGCUUAUUUUGAUGAAUCUAUGGACUUUNNNNNNNNNNNNNNNNNNNNNNNNNNNNNNNNNNNNNNNNNNNNNNNNNNNNNNNNNNNNNNNNNNNNNNNNNNNNNNNNNNNNNNNNNNNNNNNNNNNNNNNNNNNNNNNNNNNNNNNNNNNNNNNNNNNNNNNNNNNNNNNNNNNNNNNNNNNNNNNNNNNNNNNNNNNNNNNNNNNNNNNNNNNNNNNNNNNNNNNNNNNNNNNNNNNNNNNNNNNNNNNNNNNNNNNNNNNNNNNNNNNNNNNNNNNNNNNNNNNNNNNNNNNNNNNNNNNNNNNNNNNNNNNNNNNNNNNNNNNNNNNNNNNNNNNNNNNNNNNNNNNNNNNNNNNNNNNNNNNNUGGAAUACAGUAGAUAUAAUGCAAAAAUAAAAUAUAAAUGGGUUUGCAACAGUACUUAGAGUGGUGAGUUGCUUUGUUAUACUAACGGGUCCCAGGAAGGUAUUGUUAAGUUUUGUGUGAUUGAAGUUUUCAAGUUUCAGGUGAAAUCACGAUGGAUGAAAGAAUAAGGAGUAAGAAGAGCCUAAGCUUGGGGAUGCCCAUUGACGGUGUCCUGGACCAGGGGGUACUCACGACGUCGUCUCCCGAUCAGUUGGAUUGGGCCGAGGACCCCCAUGGCCGUAUACUCAUGGGCCAGUUCAGACAGCUGCCGCAUACAAGGAAGAUUCCAUAGAACUUGGUGAUCAAGACAAGGACUCCUCCCCCACCGGCGUAUUCGGCCAGGACUCUUGUUAUCCUAGGCCUCUGGUAAAUUAUAUAAACCGAGGCCAGGCUAGUCGAUAGAUUAUUAUGACAUUACUCAUCAUACCUCUAGGGUUUAGACCACAACAUAUGAUCUCGGGGUAGAUCAACUCUUGUAAACCCUAUACUCAUUAAAGUCAAUCAAGCAGCAUCAUCAAGCAGCAUGUAGGGUAUUAUCUCAUCAAGAGAGCCCGAAGCUGGGUAAAAUCCCGUGUUCAUGUUACCAUCGAUCCGAAGACGCACAGCUUGGGACCCCCUACCGGAGAUCCACCGGUUUUGACACCGACAUUGGUGCUUUCAUUGAGAGUUCCGUUGUGUGAUCGACAAGAGGAUCAAUGGCUCGACUGCAGAUCAACUGCGACCUUGACUUCUUCGUCACCGGCUCGACUGGUCACCUUGGCUUGACCGAGGACUGUGCCCUGCCUCCGAUCGUCAUGUUCGGACAAGGGCCUUCAUCAAAACUAACUCUGAUCUCUAUCAAGAUCAUGGAGGAAUCAUCCAUAGAGCUCGGGGGAUCAACGUCAACAUUGCCCUCGGGCGACCGUGUUGUUUUUCUGGACAACAAACUUGUAUGCGCCGCCACCACCUCCUCGAGUGUUGCUUAAACGAUUGCUUUGGUGGAAUUAUGCAGAAUUAAGUCUACAACAACCCUGCAAAAUUUCGUCGAGUUCCGAUGGAGGAAUCUCCGGCAAUCUUCGAUAUACCGGAGCCCUGUUGAAUCUGGACUAGAAUCCGGACGAGUUUGGAGCGUGGUGUCCAGCAUCUAGCUCGGACGUCCUUUGGAAUAUCCAACUGUUGAUCGGCUGCGGAAUUCCUAUAUCUACCACCUGUCAAAAAUUCAGCUCGAUCCGACCGUCCAAACUCCGGAAACCUUCCGACUAGUGCAUCAGUUUUCGGAUCUGUUUUCUGCGCGAGAACGAAUCCGACCCGAGUUCAUCUUAUUUAUGAACGAGAUUGCAGACAUCCUUUUUGAAGGAAGUUUUUGUACGAGGUAUUGUGUUUUAUUCUCAAACACAUCCCAUUAAUAUUAAAAGUAUUUUUACAAUACGAUCUUCACCAUCGCGCCGGUGUCAAACCGGCUCGACAACAUCACUCCACGGCGGCUGACCUGCGCUAGACACAUCGUUGCUUUGUUGAGCCGAGCUCAACUUCUUCGGAUCAUCAUCUCAGCCAGCCAAACAAUAGUUCGGCAUCUCGAAGGAUAAAUCGUCACCAAUAUCGCUGCUACAUGGAUUACACGGAGCGGGCACACCGGCAUCGCCGCACGGUCUCUUCAUGAAGCCAGCAUUGACCACGUCACAAGUUACGACCUGGGUUGACAUGGCCGCACUGUUGCCUCUUCGAGCCUAUGUCCAUCACGCCGAACUACUUCAACACCUCGGCUGACAUGGCAGCUGGAACAUCUCCUCACCGACCUGCUCCGUCUCCUCGCCUGGACUGGGGGCUUCGUCAUCCCUUCAUGAACUCACUUCGGAUACUUCGACAUCACCGGCCGACCAGCUUCAUCACAUUAGCUGGACCACGGGCUUUGCCUCGGCGAGCCAACCUUUGCCAGCAUCGUCAUGCCUUCGCUUCAUCAGCCAUCAGGCAAUGGGUGUGUGGAUCGAAUCCCAAUUUUGGGAGUAACCUUUCUUCGGAACGCUACAACAAACAAACCAGGUGCUAUUAAUCCUAGCAUUUUUUGCUUGUUUGGGUUUAUUUUUCCCAAGGAAUUAUUACUCUGCUUUGUUCCAUCAUCUAUUCAGAGGUCUAUCAAAUGGUGGCCGCAUUAACGACGGUUGCAUGGUGGUUCGGUCAGUUUUCAUGCAUAGUUCGGCGCACGCCGUAUCCGGAACUCAGACCGACCUGUGAAUUCGGGCUUUGUCACGCCUUCACUGCGUCACGCCGACGCCCUGCAUCGACAUUGACCUCGACGCUCAGGCCAUAUCUCUUUCAUUAUUUACUUCACUUGUAUUAAAUAAGUAGAAGAAUUUUUUUAUAUACAUUAUUAUCCUUAUUUGUCAUUACUUUUGGUUUGCACUAUUUUAUCUAUGCAGCCAAUCGACUCAGACUGAGCCGCGCUGUCGCCUCCAUCGACCGAAUUGUGUUGUCGCCUUGGCGCGCUGCCCUAUGUUGGCAACCCCGCGUCGUCGCUUCGUUAGCCUAUUCAGCCGGAGACUCCGGUGUCAUCAAUGCCGAACACAUUAAUCAGCUAAGUUGCUUUCAUGCUAAAAAACUUUCAGUUUUAAAUUUUGUUCGGUUCGACCAAGCAUUAUACUUUUUUUGGCAAAAAGUUGUUUGUGACAAAGUUUCUUGUCAAAACUUUGUAUGUGACGCACAUAUUCAAAUACCCCGUUUAUUUGGGGGCUCCCUUGAUGGAGCUUUUCCCUCUUGCAUAUGAUUAUACUUGUACGGCUUCAUUCCUUGUUCAUGUAUUACGCCACAAUAUGCACCAUAUUGACCUAAGUGAUUUGCAAGCUGGGUUGCCUGGCUCCUGUGCUUACCCCUACAUUCCCGAUUGUUCGGCUAGGGAGUAAAGGGAGCACAUCUGCGAUUGUCACAAUCAGGUCAUCCGAGCCAGACCUCAGACUGGGUGAAGCCAAAAGCUAGCGCUCUUACUGUUUUCAAUAAUGGUCGGCACACAACGGAACUCAUGGGUACAAAAAAUCUAUUGCACAAGUCUCAUAGUAAUAAUGAGCAACCGAAGAAAGGUAUCGGUGGGGGUACUAUUUUCUUCGAAGAUGCUUCUUACACUUCGGCGGUAAUAUAGCAUAAGUUCCCUGAGCGCGCUUUGUUUGUUACAGCCUUAUGGUUUGAUUGCCUGGUUAUAGGAAACACCGUCGAUAUUCUCGACAGCUGGAGUACAUAACACUUUUCGGUCCUUAACCGAAGAGGGAGAAGCCGAUGAUCGGUUAAGACGCGUUCAAAGUUCGGGUGAACACAAAUGUGAUAUAAGUACUUCGGUACAUACAAUCAUCAUACAUAAAAUUCUUUUACCCAAGUCACUUGGGGGCUCUUAAAAUUUAUAUGAGGUGUUUUAUAAUAAAUGUGUUUCCUUCUUGGUCGUUGCAAAGGGUUGACCCGCGUGAAGUCUUGAGAUCGGAUGCGUCAUGUUAAAGCACGACAGAAGCACAAUUUUUUUUUCCAAUUUUUGGAUUGGCACCGAACACUUGAUCUUGUUCGGACGUAAAGUUUUUACUGAUGUUUUUUUGGUUUUACAAAGCUUAUGGCACUUUUAGACUAUUUGUGUGUUUCCAACACAAGUCUCGCGGUGCAAUGCCAGACACCUUUAGAGAUUCGGCAAAAACAUUCUCGGAUAUUGCUAUAUAUGCAUCGGUUUCGAAUUGUGUCUUCGGUCAAUAGUUGGGUUGCCCGGCUCCUGUUCUUGCCUCCUAUGUUGCACUUUGUUUGGCUAGGUGUGCAAAGGGAGAACCACUGCGAUUGUGCUUCCAGCUCGCAUGGUUAAGAACCGCAGUGGAGAAAGCCGAUAACUGACUGUCACAAUAGGUGUAAACUGGUCAGCGAUCCGAUGACCAUGUUAAAUGACGGGCCGUUCAUAACAUGGCCGAAGUGUUUACGGCUUGACCUUGGCUGUCGCCGAACACUAAUCGGGGGCUCGUAGCUAGCUUCCCAAGUUUAAAGCUCCUAUGACUAGGUGAAAGUUAUAAAGCCCGCAUAUAUGAUUGCCUCGUUUCCGCUAACACAACCGCCUUCGGGCACCGAGACGUUGGCUAAGUGUUGUCUUGUUAUUGUGGAAACACCCUGCAUAGUAUCUACAAAGGGGUAGAAGCCGACGAUGGGCCACUUUCAACUGAUAAACAAUCGCAACGGAGUCAAAAUAAACAUAUCAUCGGCAUUUGUAUUUAAUAUACAAGCGCCGCCUUCUGUAAUCAUUGUUAUAAAGCCAUAAAUAUGCAUCAAUUUGACUUAAGAUUUUGGCACAGCUGGGUUGCCUGGCUCCUGUGCUUACCCCUACGUUCCCGAUUGUUCGGCUAGGUGGUAAAGGGAGCACCUCUGUGAUUGUUACUACCGGGUCAUCCGAGUAAGUACCUCAGAUUGGGUGAAGCCGAAAGUUAGCAAUCUUAAAGGAUCACAUUGGUCGGAAACGACGGAAGUGAAAAUUUUGGUUCAUUAAUAACAAAGUUUGGGAACUUUCCCCGAACUGAAUCCUCAAUAUUUUCCUCCCACAUUGACCGGAGGUGAGGUUUCAUGAUCAUGAUAAGCAUGACGACCCAAAGAAAGGAACCGAUAGCGGGACUAUUUUCCUUGGAAGAUGUUUCUUACAUUAAGUAAUAUAACAUAUCUCUCCGCGUACCUUUGUUUAUAAAACCGUAUGGACGGAUUGCCUUGUUUUCCAUAAAUCUUUGCCCUUAUAGCGGCUUCAUAAAGUAGGAAAACACUCCUCAGCUACUGGCCAAAGAGGUUGAAGCCGAUGGUCGGCCAACAAAGUUUUGUACAAUGCAGAUCCAAGCAUUAAUGAUGUAAAGUACUUGGAUACAUAGAGCCAUUACACAUAAUUUGUGAUUAUACUAUGGAUAUCGAUCCUUAAUUCGGCCACCCGUGCCCGCAUUAAGGAUCGGGGGCUACUGGGCUUCGGGCUUAUUAUUUACAAAUAUUAAAGGGGCACAUCGAUCCCCUGAUCCGGUGUUGCCACCCGACCAGUGUCUCGGGGGCUACUACAUUGCCUAUUCAAUGCAGAAAAUUCAAAGCGCUCAGUGUUCGGCUUGACCGGACUAUGCGCAAACGCGUCUUCAGACAACAAUAGGUACCAUAUGGACCUUUUCAGCAUCAAGCUGGUAUGUUACGACAACUUCUCCAGACCCUCUCUCAAGGGCUCGUUAGCCGAUCACCAUUAUCUCUAAUAUAUUACACCACAUUUUUCCCUAAGUAUGCUGCCGAGCUGGGAAUUGAUCCUCAGGCUGAUUUUACGAAUCGGCCUGAGUCUCAGGGCUACUAGGGUCAGCGGUUUGGUUUUUUCCUUCAGGUGCAUCCCAGAUAUUAGGCCAACACGCACCUUGAGGGCUACUGGCUAUACAUCUCGGCCAAGAUUACAUUGCACAAUUCAGAAUUAAAUUCAUAAAAAUUAGCCCAUGGCCAAGGUGGUGCACCACCUCGGAAGCAGUCCGGCAUAAAGCUCGGGCGCUAGUGGCUGGCUCCAUAGCGGGCAUUUCCGACAUUAAGCUCGGCUAAACUCCUUCAAACUUUUUUGAGCCAAGGUGAUCUAUGACACCUGGAUAUAGUCCAACAUUGGAGCUCGGAUACAGUCCGGCGUUGGAGCUCGGAUACAUUCCGGCAUUGGAGCUCGGAAGCAGUCUGGCGUUGGUGCUUGGCUGCAAAAGAUACCUCGAAUGCAAUCCGGCGUUGGGGCUUGGAUGCAAGAGGACACCGCCGCAUGGGAACAACUUCAAACCCGAGGUGUGGCGUAAAAAACAACCAGGCAUUGAUAAAGGCCGAUAACUUAAAGGGGCUCCCUGGAUACCCGACGUGUAAACUCUUCGGAUGCACUUUGGCGAUCUUCAAGAUCGAAGAUAAGGAGAUUUGUUGAACCAGUUUUCAAGACCGACGACCAAAGAUGAAGAAUAGUUCAGAAGAAUCGAGGAGCGUCCCCACUUGAAGACCGGUUCAGGGGGCUACUGACGGUGUCCUGGACUAGGGGGUACUCACCACGUCGUCUCCCGAUCAGUUGGAUUGGGCCGAGGACCCCCAUGGCCGUAUACUCAUGGGCCAGUUCGGACAGCUGCCGCUUACAAGGAAGAUUCCACAAGACUUGGUGAUCAAGACAAGGACUCCUCCCCCACCGGCGUAUUCGGCUAGGACUCUUGUUAUCCUAGGCCUCUGGUACAUUAUAUAAAACAAGGCCAGGCUAGUCGAUAGAUUAUUAUGACAUUACUCAUCAUACCUCUAGGGUUUAGACCACAACAUAUGAUCUCGGGGUAGAUCAACUCUUGUAACCCCUAUUGUCGGAGUAAUGGGCCACGGGUAGGCUCACCCAAGUCCCAUGAUUUAUCAAGACUUUUGGACCAGCUCCGCCUAGCUAGGCCCCAAGCCGAAGCUCCGCCCUCUGAGGCCGGCUGGCUCAGCGGCCGGCUGCCAGAGGGCGGUUGACCCAAGACUACGACGCUCCGGGUGACCGGCUCCUGGCGGCCGCCCUCUAGAGAGGGCGGCUACAGGCAGGCGGCUACCUCAUGACUACGGGGCGGCCAUGCUCCCAUCAAGAGUACAAGGCAAAGCAUGGCUACAGUGAAGCACGUCGCCUCCCACGCUCGAGACGGGCGUGGCUACAGUGCUCUGUAUAGACGGAGAUCUCCGCACGACGGAGCAUUGUGCCGUAUCUACCCUGACGUUGCCCCGAGCAGGCGGAGCCCUGUCCCCCACGACGGCCUGUCGGUACGGCCCGCCAGAGGCGGGCCCUAUCGGGCAGUGACCCUAAGGAAGACGGCGAAAGCUCGACCAAGCGGAUCAGAGAGGGGCCGGCCUCCAGCAGGUGGCCGUCCCUUGUCCCGAGGCGAGCAUGCCAUUAAGCUGAUAAGACCAGGUGUGGCUAUAGUGUCCUCCCACCAGGCGGUGGGACUGUAGCCAUGCUAAGAUGACCAAGCCCCCGUCACUAAAUACACGGCUACAGUGAACAGCCACCAACCAGUCGGCAGGCCCCACCAGGCGGCAGGCCCCAGCGGUCGGCGGAGAAGCCGGAGGCUGGAGACACUGACAGCCGGGCCCAGCAGCCGACCAGAUUACCAUUGUACCCCUGGGGGGUAGGCCUAUAUAAACCCCCCAGGCCACCCAUGCAAAGGGUUCCCACUCCAUUAGAACUAGCCACCCCCUAGAGCAGGAAGAGAGCGAGCCUUGCGUCCUUCUACCUCUAGCGCACAUCUCGAGGAGCACCAUUAUAUCACUUGUGCCUUAGUGAUCAUGCGGAGACCCCGAAAGCAGGACUAGGGGUGUUAUCUCCUAGGAGAGCCCCGAACCUGGGUAAAGUACGCCGACGUUCGUGUCUACGCCUUAUCCCGCUUCCAGGCACCGGCGAUGUUCUACUCGCUCCCACCAUGAUAAGCCAUCCUUUGGCAUAUGUCGCAUCCAACCCCCUACAUUUGGCGCCCACCAUGGGCCGAGGUGCACCAUCUCCUGGAGAUCUGCUCUGGACGGGAACCCUGUUCCUUCCUGGCGAGCAAAGCCAACCCAGCACGCCUGACGGCGUCAGCCCCGACGCGCUGCACGGCAUGGAGAUUGCCUGCACGGCGAGCUGCCCCGCUGACCUCGUCGGCGAGAUCGACCUCUCCGACGAGCCGGCCUCUGACGCGGGCACAAGCUGCCCUGAGGGCCGCCUCGUCAGCCUCCUCGACCAGCUCCAUGUCGCCAGCGAGCCUACUGUGGACCUGGAGUCCGUCGGCUCGACCGAUCCGAUGAUCGUCGACUCCGACACGGUGUCGCUCGACGCAUUCCCCACCAACAUGGUGGUCUACGACGAGCCACCUCAUUGCGAGUACAGCGGAGGAAGCACCGUCACGGAGGUGCUCGUCAUCAAUAGUGAGGAGCACUCGGAUGGGCGUGCGCAAGAUCCCCUCGACGCCGCUCUACGCGACCUCAUGGCGCACAUUCCCGAGGGCACGGACGAUGAGGCGCUGGAGGCACGCCACCUCCAGCUUCUCGAAAAUGCUGGCCGCCUGGCCAGCAUGCGCCGGUUUCAGACGCCUAUCGGCGCGAGAUGGACUGAGCCGUAGGCGGCACGCCGGCCCCUGAGGGGCCUAGCCACCUCGGCACGGUUCGGCAGCGUGGCGCGACUGUCGCCAGCAUGUUCGAGGCGGAGCGCCCCGUCUACGCCACGCUUGCGGAAAACAUCCGUGCCGCCCAGGAGGUGACGGAUGAGCUGGACAAAUGCGACGGCGACGAGCGCCGCCUCAUGACGAAGCGAGUCUAGCAGCUCCUAGACGCGGCAGCCGCGCAGCACGAGGCCGCUUGCCACGCCGAAGUCCCACCCGGACGAAACAACGAGCCGCCCCCACGCCGAGAUCAUGGGCGACCUCCCGAACACCGACUGGUGGCGCCCGCGGAGGAAAGGGCAAUGAGCCGGCUGCCAGCCGCAGUCGGACACACCUCUCCAUCGAGCGGGACGAGGACGACCACCCUCGUGCAGUAGAGCGACGAGGCGACCUGCUGCCUCCCCCGCCUCGCGGAGCGAGAUACCCUACUCCGCCCCCUAUCAUGCAUCCGAUGCUCGGCGACCGCCUUGGCCGUCGAGAGGGAGUCGGAGAGAAUGAUGCUCGCCAUUGGAUCGAUUGUCUCAACCGAUCCCUGGCGCUCGAAGAAGAAGAUGCGCUGGGCCCGCCCUGUUUCGGCCCCAGAAUCCGAGAUGAGCCCUUCCCUAAAGGGUUCACCCUCCCAUGAGACACACCCAAGUACACCGGCUCCGUGAAGCCGGAGGACUGGCUGGUCGAGUACUCCACGCCCGUCAGCAUAGCAAACGGCAACAAGUGUGUUGCCGUGAAGUAUGUCCCACUCAUGCUUCAGGGCACUGCCCGGACGUGGCUCAACAGCCUGAAGCCCCGCAGCUUCAACAGCUGGGUUGAUUUCACCGAGGUAUUAAUCCGCAGCUUCACCAACACCUACAAGCGGGCCCCCAAGCCCCGACAGCUCUCCUUGUGCAUCCAAGGGCCCACAGAGUCGACUCGCGACUACCUCACACGCUGGACCGAGCUGCGCAAUUCCUGCGAAGGCGUGCACGAGGUGCAGGCGAUCGAGUACUUCACUGCCGGGUACCGAGAGGGCACCCUCCUCAAGCACCGACUCCUCUGCGACGAGUCCGAGACCCUCGAUGAGCUGCUGGUCAUCGCCGACAAGCAUGCCACGGCCGACUCCUCCAUGAAGGCGGAAAUCCUGGUUGACACGUCUGACAAGGUGGCCUUCAGGCGCCUCGGACUCCGGCUGGUGACACUAGUCGGCGACAACAACCAGGAGAUCACAAGCGGAAGGCCACCCAGCCGGCUUCCACCAGCCGGCAAGUGGCGACGGUCGAGGAUCAGCAGCCAGAAGGGCAGCCGGCCCCAAGCGGCAGAAGGGCGGCAAGACCAAUUGGUUGCCAGCUUUCUCUUACGAGCAAACCUUGGAUGCACCCUGCAAGUUCCAUAGCGGUGCGAAGCCCUCCAACCACACCACUCGCAAGUAUCACUGGCUCACCAGAAUUGCCAAGGGAGAUGGACUCCUGCCUCCUCCGCCUGCCGGACCGCCGCCUCCUCAGCCUCAGCAGCCGGCGGCCCGGCUAGUCGGUGCCAUACAAGACGAAUACCCGGAGGAACACAGAGCCUAUGUUGUGUUUACCAGCGUGGCUGAUGACAGGCGCAACAGACGACAACAACAAGAAGAAGUGCAGGCAGUGGCCUCCAAUACUCCGGAUUUCAUGCAUUGGUCUGAGAAGCCUAUCAGUUGGAGCAGGGCCGACCACCCGGAAGUGAUGCCUUCCCCUGGUUCGUAUGCCCUGGUCUUAGAAGCAACCCUUGCAAUGGAGAGGCGGGCUGCCUGUUCCUCCAGAAUCUUGAUAGAUGGCGGCAGCAACAUCAAUAUCCUGUACCGCGAUACAAUGGAGAAAUUGGGAAUCAAGCAGAAGCAACUCACCCCCAUUCGGACUAUUUUCCAUGGCAUAGUCCCCGGCCUUUCUUGCUCACCAAUCGGCAAGACUCAGAUUGAUGUCCUCUUUGGAGACAAGAAUCACUUCCGCCAAGAGUCGGUCUGGUUUGAAGUGGUGGACCUUGAAACCCCUACCAUGCGCUGCUAGGCCGGCCUGUUCUAGCCAAGUUCAUGGCGGUCCCCCACUACGCCUACCUCAAGAUGAAGAUGCCGAGUACCAAGGGAAUCCUGACAGUAGUCGGAGACUACAAGAGAUCGAUCGCUUGCGCGGCAGAUAGCAGCUGGCUGGCCGAGUCCCUCGUGAUUGCUGCUGAGAAGCGGCUCCUUGACCGAGUGGUGGCACUGGCAGGCAAGAAGCCGGAAAUGUCACCCACCCCCCAGGAGUCGGAGGUUGAGGGCUCGUUCAAGCCGGCCAAGGAAACAAAGAAAAUACCCUUGGACCCGGAGCACCCGGAGAGGCACGUUGUCGUAGGCACAUGCCUUGACAGCAAAUAGGAAAGCGAGCUUGUCGAUUUCCUCCGUGAGAAUCGGGAUAUCUUUGCAUGGUCUCCCAAAGACAUGCCGGGUGUUCCGACGUAUUUCGCCGAGCACAAGCUACAUGUCCGACCUGACGUCAAGCCGGUCAGGCAGCCCUUGCGCCGCCUGUCAGAAGAGAAGAGUUGUCGGAGAAGAGAUAGCCCAGCUCCUAGCAGCCGGAUUCAUUAUGGACGUAUUCUUUCCAGAGUGGCUGACCAACCCAUUCCUAGUGUUGAAAAAGAACAAGCAGUGGCGCAUGUGCAUUGACUACACCAGCCUCAACAAAGCCUGCC
This 44840-nucleotide long non-coding RNA is filed under the name Triticum aestivum (bread wheat). Its description in RNAcentral is "long non-coding RNA (TAES_LNC002742)". The stretch from base 9932 to 10066 matches the Rfam family "MIR1120/MIR1122 microRNA precursor family". The record is from RNAcentral. Lineage: Eukaryota; Viridiplantae; Streptophyta; Magnoliopsida; Poales; Poaceae.